Molecule: long non-coding RNA, 54659 nt
Filed under: Gossypium raimondii (Peruvian cotton)
Lineage: Eukaryota; Viridiplantae; Streptophyta; Magnoliopsida; Malvales; Malvaceae
Description: long non-coding RNA (GRAI_LNC009689)
Source: RNAcentral
AGUCCUCUAAAAUCAAGAUAUGCCCCUGUCUCUGUUUUCCAAUAGCAAAUUCCGUCUACAUAAUUAUUUCCCAAAGUUUUUCCAUUUGGAUUAUAAUCAGGAUAUGGAAUUUCCUUCCAGGAAUUACUUCUAAGAGAAUACAACUCAACUUGGUAUAUAAAAUCAGGAUGUGCAUAUUCUUCUUCACUAUUAACAAAAGUAAGAGUAACGAAUCGUAUGAAUUUGUAGUCAUCAGUUUUAGAAUCAAAGCCAAAAGCAGCGUGGUCAAAAGAAACGCCGUCUAAAGUAAGGUAGGUUUCUUCGAAUGGGGAAAAAUAUGGAGGGCGUUGGAUUGAAGAUGGUGGAAGGAUUUUAAACUCUCUAUUUGAUGGGUUCCAAAUGGCAGCCUUAUCCUUUGAAGGAUCAAAUAAACACAAUAAUCCAUGACAAGCACCAUAAAUAGAGGGGAUAUCAUUCCUAAAAAAGGGCAAGUGAAUGUUUUGUUUUACCAUAUAAUUUUGAUAUUUUUCAUUUGAAAGUUGAGAGAAAUAAAGUUGGAAGGUGUUACCAUCACAGCGACUAAGAAGUAGAUUAAGGUGGUUGUUUUCAAGGUUGUUGUGAUAAUUAUUGGAAAUGAAAUGAGGAGUUUGAAAAGAAGAACACCAAUACUUACAAACAUAAAUACUUGAGUCUCAAAAUAAGCACUAGCUCAAUAAAACACAUAUGAUAAUUUAGAUUACUGUAAUAAAACACAUAUUGAUAAUCCAGAUAUUACAUUAACAUUUUUAAACAUAUAUGAGACAAUUGUGGCAAAGCUAGCUAUGGAAAUUCUAUGGUAUUGGAUCCACUAUUGCACGGGCUGUAAAAUAAGUUGGAACAAUUUUGAGGCCUUCCAAAGGUACCGGAUGGCCCCGGUCUUCCAUAACAGAUAAACAACUCCUUGAGUAGUAGAACAUUAGUUCUUUGGUGUUUACUACAUGAGAUUUGCGGAGAUGCUCCUAUAAGUUGGAAAACUAUAUCCGCAACUUGUCGGACCGUAUAGGUAGAUCUACGUGUGAGUCCCAUAGCUAAAUCCCAAAAUUCAUUAAAACAAAUAAGAGACAAUAAAGUAUAUUAAACACAAAUAGGAAUGUGAAGGGAAAAUAAAAACAAUUUAUGCGAUAUACCUGAAUUUAAAUUUGUCCUAAGUUGUAUGGCCGAUUGGAAGUAUGACAGAGGAUGUUGUGCAAAGUCGGAAUAUGUGCCAUGUUCCAUCCAUUCGUGGAACCAAAAUUUAAUGUUUGGCUCUCCCAAAUUCAAGUUCGGCCAUUGUGAGCGCAAGUUGUUCCAAAGUGCUGCAUCCCUUAUUAACAAUUGCUUUUAAAUAAGAAACAAAAAAUUUUAUUAGAUUAUAGAUAAAUUACUUAAUAGUUUCAGGCGAAGAAUGUACGUAUGCAUACUCUGAGAGCUAAUUGUGAUGUCAUAGGUUGUGGAUUGGUGCAGCGAUGAUUUGUAUCAUAUGGGGGCACCGGCCUGUCAUGAGCAUCUUGUGCCCAAAUUCCAUGUAUUUUGAAUUCAGUUGGGAUUGGGAGUUUACAGUUGAGAGUAGAGCUACAAACAGAUGGAGGCCAUUGAAGUGCCAGCUUGUAGAAGUCCGGAAUUGCUGGUUGCUGGGGUACUGCAAAUGCUACCCAUAAUGAAAAAUUGAUACAAUGCAUUUUUACAAAUUUACAAAUAAAAAGAAAACUACAUUUAUAAAUAUUACAUGCAUGGAUGGUUGGGCUGAGAUUGGAUGAUUGUGCUUUGCGAGUAGCUGGUUUAUGAUCUCCUUUAUAAGCUUGGCACACAUAUUUCACAAAAUUUUCAAAGUCCUGCAACCAUGAAAUAAAUAUUGAAGUUACUUAUCCCAAAGUGUUACUUCACAAUCACACCAAGAGAGAAAUAAACAAACUCACUUGUCUGAGUGGCUGAUUAUUCACCACCACCCAUGGCACAUAUUCUUGAGGUGGCUUCAUAUGUGCAGUCACAUUAGAAUAUUGCAGCUGAAGCCGCAAUUCAUUAAUUUGGAAAUUCAAUGUUAGAAAAAGCAAAGGAGAGUUAAUUAAAUACUAAGACAUGCAGCCAACCUUAUAUCCGAAUCCAGUAGUAUAGCAUUUGUUGAUUAUCUCCUCAUUCAAUCUCAGCUUUUCACUACAAUAUUUCCACAGUGCUUCAAUGGGCGCCUCCUUUAAGCUUUGUUGCUCUGUGCAGCGAAUGAAUUCCAAGUGCUCUUUCUACACCACAGGAGAGUAAUUAAACAAGAGUUGGAGAUGAGAACAAAUACUUAUGGCUAAUAGAAGUUACUGCAUCAGGCCAUAAAUGGAUGACAACUAUGUAUAGUGUUUAAGUGACGUUCUUCUUCUCCAUGUUGCACAUUGUUGCAAAAACUAUAAUUAGUUAUAACACCAAAAAGAAAUUGAACUUCAUUAGUUAAUAAUGAUAAUACAUUAAAAUGAAGAACGGAGUUGUAAACCUGGCAAUGGAUUUCAGCAUUGCCCCAAGGGACCAAUCUUAGAUUGGUAAUGGUAUGGAGGUCAGUGCGGAAGACCUUGAGUAGGCCAUUGGAGAUAAGCGAGAAUAUUGCAAGAGCAGCCAGAAUAUAGAAGAUUAAUGGUUGAAGAUAAGCCAUUGUUUCAGUGGUAGCUUUUGAACAAUGCUAGACGUCAAUUGUGCAAGGCUUCUUAUAGUUGAGAAUUGGGAUGAUGAAUAUUGCUUUCUGUCACUUUCAGAAACCAUGAGACAAAUUUACAAAGUUAUCAUCUUUAAAAAACAAUUAUACACCACUUUAAAAAAAAAUUAUUUACAUGAAAGAUUGUUUAUCUAUUUAUGUAUGAAUAUUGUCUAAACAUGAAAGGAGAAGUCUUAUUAGAUAACAGAGUUUUAUAAUUGAAAUUAAGUUGGCCUUCUAAAAUGCUCUUAGACCAUUAUUAGUGAAUUAAAUAAACCUACUUGGCUCAUAUAAAUAAUUUGAACCAUCGUGCAGUACCAUGAGACAAGAAUCUACUUAGUCUAAAUGUUGUAUUAAUUAACCAUUAAUGAAUAUUAAUGGUAAAAAGUCAGUAUGUAAGUCCUUGUCAUAAUAAAGAUAAAAGAAAAUUACUUUGGCACCACCUCUCAUUAAUUCAUAAUAUUUGUGUGAAUGUUUAUUAAUCUUCACAAAGGAUGGACUUCUUUAAUUAUGAACAAUUCUAAGUGCUUGUCAAUUCUUAUUAUGAAGUCAUUCUUUAAUAUAAAUUAUAUAUUAGUCUUCAUAUAGCUUUUCUUUUCUGCAGUCAUCGUAUUAAGCGACUUCGAGGAAAACGAUGAAGAAACAGUGGAUACUUGAUGGAAGAGAGUAAUGAUAAUAAUCCACCACAUUCAAGUCUUGAAUUGAAUAAUAUAAUUCAAUUAUACAAAUCUCAUAUUGUUAAAGUGAAUUUUUGAGAUUCUUGUCUAUAAGUCAUUAUACUUCAUUAAGUUAAUAAAAAUUAAGUUUAGACCGUGAACUUGUGGCCUACAAGGCUAAUGCAAUUUACAUCCAAGUCCUUUUUGUUUUUAAAAUUAUUUUUUACUGAAUCUUUUAGAAAACUUCUUAACCUGUAAAAGUAUUUUAAUCGACUGAAGCUAUUUUCAGUUAAGUUCAUAUUAACCUUUUUCAAACUGUUUUUAGCUAAUUCAAUUAACUUACUUUUGUUAUGGUUAACCAGUGAAAUUUUUAUAAAUACACCUUCAAAAUUCCCAAUUUAUUCUUUACAUUCUCUUUCAGACACUCCUUGUUUCCUCAAAAGCUUUCUUCUACAAUUUUAGCCGAGUAUUUAUUUGGUUUGUUUUUCCUACCGAUUAAUAGAAUUGUUUGUUGAAGUCACGAAAUAUUUGUAAGGACAAUGAUAUUCACACUUCAAACAGUAAUUCUAAUAUUCUAAACCUCCUAUUUCUAACCAUUCCAAGGAUAAAAAUUAGAUAUAAAUGAUUUUCUCCUUUUAUUAUGUUGAAUUUAAUUACAGAACAAAUUUAAAGGAAAAUGAGUCGGGUGUUCAAAUUCUUUUAAUUUAUUUUAAGACUAAUCAUGUUUGAAGAGGCAUGAAUAUUUUUCCCAAAUUUCAAGACUUUGAUUUGAAAAUUACAAGAACUAGUUCGCAAAAAGGUAUGAAGUGAAUAAAACAUAGAUAUAAUGACCCUAAUGUUUUUUUUUCAUUUUUAUUAUAUAUUUUUAUUAUUUUCAAUCUUCAAAUUCUAAUCAAAUUAUUAUUUUUUAUAAAAAAUUAUCUAGAUUGCUAAAAUUUUAAUAAUGUUGAUGUUGUGACCUAGGUGACACUCCACUUAUACUUCAACGUUGAUGCGAUUUAAAAAAAAAAUUGAACUUUUAAUAUUUUAUGUAUUUUUUUUUUUGUAAAGUACAUAUUGUUGACACCAUUUUUUUGGAUGGAAAACGGGGUCGACUUGGGUUUUAAAAAAUGAAACGAAAACGGGAGUCGUCACCAAUCCUUUUUUAUAAGGUGUGACUGGAUCACCUCGAAAAGUGGUUAUUUUUAAUAAAAGGUUUGAUUUUAUUAAAACAACAAGUUUGGUCCACGAAAUUCAGAAAAAACGGGUUCGGGAGUCGGUUACGCACGAGGAAGGAUUAGCACCCUCGAUACGCCCAAAAUUGGUACCUAGUUGAUCACUCAAGGUCUGCAUGUCGGAAAUUGAAAACUUUAAAGAAAUUUAAAAUACGAUCCUUAAAAAAACUUGAAUGGCAUGGAUUAAAAUUUAAGAGGAUAUUUGGCAAUUUGGUUAAACGAGAAAUCGAAACCCAGCACAUUAGGGCACGUUCCUCGAAUUUCCGAAGGCAAAACAUUGCCUUAUUUUGAAAUAUAUAUAUAUUUUAAAAAGGAUAUUAAGCCAUUUGGUUGAACGAGAAAAAUCAACACCCAGCACCUUAGGGCGUGUUUUCUCGAAUUUCCAAACGCAAAACAUUGCCAUAUUUUGAAAUUUUUUAAAGGAUAUUAAGCCAUUUGGUUGAAUGAGAAAAUCGACACCCAGCACCUUAGGGCGUGUUUUUCUCGAAUUUCCAAACGCAAAACAUUGCCUUAUUUAGGAAUAUUUUCCUUUUUUAAAAUAUGAUAUUAAUAUGCAGAGUGGAAUAAUAAAUAUGAUAGUGUGAAAUAAAAAUGAACAAAAAUAAAUAAUAAAACAAAUCAAUCAUGCAUAUAUCAUAGCAAAUAAAUAAAUAAACUAAAGCAUAAAGAUGGACAUAUAAAUGAAUACAUAAGUGAACAUAAAAUUAAAGGAAAAUAUAUGAAAAUUAUAAAAUAUAAAAAAGGUAGGUACAUAUGAGGGAAAUAUGUAUGUAUAUACAUAAAAUUAUGGAAAUAUAAAAGAUGUGUAUAUAAAAGUAUGUAUAUAUGUGUAUACUUUUUAUAAAAGAGAACUAUGUACGUAUAAAUAUGUUAUAUAAAUGUAUUAACGUGUGUAUAUAUAUAUAUAUACUUUGAAAUUAUAAAAUAAAAACAUAUGUACAUAUUUUAAAAUUAUUAUAUAAAAUAUAUAUAUAUAAGUAAGUAUAUACAUAUUCGUGAGAAAAAAAUAUAAAUAUACAUAUAUAUAAAUAUAUAUAUAAUGAGUACUUAUGUAUGUAUAAAAAAAUAAAAAAUAUAUAUACAUAUAUAUAUAUGUAAGCAAUUAUAUAAUAAUAAUAUAAUAUGUCACAUAUAUCUAAGAUUUAUAUAAGUAAAUAUAAGUAUAAAUAUAAUGAUAGUAAUAAGAAUAUUAGUAAUAAUACUAAUAAUAAUAAUAAUAAUAAAACUACUGAAAAAAGGACUAAAUCGAAAUAAAAUAAAAAUACUGGGCGAAUUUGAAAUAAAAAAGACGAAAAGGACCAAAAUGUGACGCGCGAGAAAGGACGGAGGGCCAAAUGGGAAAUAAUCCCCAUCCUCCAAAACGCGCAGGUUCAAUAGGGACCAAACUGGAAAGCAAAACAAAUUAAUGGUGCCAAAUUAAAACACAAAACGAAAAGCCAAAGGAGUAAAUUGAAAGAGGGUGACAAUGUGAAAGUACUCGCAGCGCAAAUAGCCCAUAAGGCGCAAAAACACGCGGACCUUGGCCGCGGGUCGGGUUGAGAUUCGGGUAAGGGCAAAACGACGUCGUUUUGGGGCCUUUCUGACCCUUCCAAAACGGCGCCGUUUUGGAUUCCUAUAUAAGUAAAAAAACCCCUAAAAAAAAUCAUUUCAUCCCUCUUUUUAAAAAAAAAAUUUUCAGAAAACUCUCCCUUCUCUCCCUUUCAGCCCAGACUCCGCUCAACAUCCGGCGAGUGCUCCGGCUAUCGGCGCCGUCGCGCCGGCCACCGUACACGGUGGCCAGAAAUCCAAAAAAUGUAUUUUUUUGCUUUUUUUUUUACGUUUAUUCGUUUUAUAUAUGUAAAAUAAAAGAAAUAAAAUCGAAUACAAUCAGUUUCGAAAGGAAGAAAAAUAAAAAGGAAAUGAGGAAAGGGAAUAGAUCUUAUACCGAAAANNNNNNNNNNNNNNNNNNNNNNNNNNNNNNNNNNNNNNNNNNNNNNNNNNNNNNNNNNNNNNNNNNNNNNNNNNNNNNNNNNNNNNNNNNNNNNNNNNNNNNNNNNNNNUUUUUGUUCUUUGCGUGUCUUCUCCCCUUGCAGGUGGAGUCGGUGGCGACGUGACGUGACGGAGGCGUGUGAGGCGCAGUGGCAGGUGGGCAUAGUAGGGUAGGGCGGCGGCAGAGGCUAGAAGAGACCUGAAGGCCCUAGGUACGGCGCCUAGGGUUUUUUCUUUCAUUUUGUUUGGAUGAAAAUGUUUAGUUUUGGGCUUAGGGUUUCAGUUUGGUAGUGGGCUGGUAUUGUAAUGUGGGCUUGUGGGUUGUAAUUGGGUAUUGGGUCUUUUAUUUAUAAUGGGCCCCGGGCAAAUUUGGGCUUUUACAGCUGCCCCUCUUUGCUCGUUGUUAUGUAACGAGAACAGAGCAAAGACUAAGAAAGACCAAAUUUGCCUGGUCUUGCCGAGCCUCGACUUCUCUUGACACUUCUUUUCAAGUAGCUUCGUUCCAGUCCAUUGUGUCUUGUCACUUCAAUCCACUCUACUGCGCUUUAGGGAAAUCUGACUUGUAGCUUCAAUCUUCUUCGCAGCAACUUCAGGGGGACGAGAUUUGUGGUUUAAGUCUAUUCCACUACAACGUCAGGGAGAUAAGACUUGCUGUGAUCUGCUCCACUACUGCUUAGGGAGAUAAGACUUGAUGCGAUCUGCUCCACUACUGCUUAGGGAGAUAAGAUCUGGUUUCUUUCGUCUGCUCCACUACUGCUUAGGGAGAUAAUACUUGAUGCGAUCUGCUCCACUACUACUUAGGGAGAUAAGAUCUGGUUUCUUUCGUCUGCUCCACUACUGCUUAGGGAGAUAAGAUCUGUGGUUUUAAUCCGCUCCGCUGUAACUUCAGGGAGAUAGGAUAGUGUCUUCGAUCUACUCUGCUGUAACCUCAGGGGGAUAAGAUCUGAAAUUCUUCGGUCUACUCUACUGUAACCUCAAGGAGAUAAGACCUGGUGCGAUCUGCUCUAUUGUAACUUCAGAGAGAUAAGAUCCUUUAUUUUAAUUCGCUCCACUAUAACUUCAGGGAGAUAGGAUUAUGUCUUCAAUCUGCUCCGCUGUAACCUCAGGGAGAUAAGAUCUGAAAGUCUUCGGUCUACUCCACUGUAACCUCAGGGAGAUAAGACCUGGUGCGAUCUGCUCUACUGUAACUUCAGAGAGAUAAGAUCCUUUAUUUUAAUCCGCUCCACUGUAACUUCAGGGAGAUAGGAUUAUGUCUUCGAUCUGCUCCGCUGUAACCUCAGGGAGAUAAGAUCUGAAAGUCUUCGGUCUACUCCACUGUAACCUCAGGGAGAUAAGACCUGAUGCGAUCUACUCUACUGUAACUUCAGAGAGAUAAGAUCCUGUCUUCGAUCUGCUCCGCUGUAACCUCAGGGAGAUAAGAUCUGAAAGUCUUCGGUCUACUCUACUGUAACCUCAGGGAGAUAAGACCUGGUGUGAUCUGCUCUACUGUAACUUCAGAGAGAUAAGAUCCUUUAUUUUAAUCCGCUCCACUGUAACUUCAGGGAGAUAGGAUUAUGUCUUCGAUCUGCUCCGCUGUAACCUCAGGGAGAUAAGAUCUGAAAGUCUUCGGUCUACUCUACUGUAACCUCAGGGAGAUAAGACCUGGUGUGAUCUACUCUACUGUAACUUCAGAGAGAUAAGAUCCUUUAUUUUAAUCCGCUCCACUGUAACUUCAGGGAGAUAGGAUUAUGUCUUCGAUCUGCUCCGCUGUAACCUCAGGGAGAUAAGAUCUAAAAGUCUUCGGUCUACUCUAUUGUAACCUCAGGGAGAUAAGACCUGGUGUGAUCUGCUCUACUGUAACUUCAGAGAGAUAAGAUCCUUUAUUUUAAUCCGCUCCACUGUAACUUCAGAGAGAUAGGAUUAUGUCUUCGAUCUGCUCCGCUGUAACCUCAGGGAGAUAAGAUCUGAAAGUCUUCGGUCAACUCUUACUGUAACCUCAGGGAGAUAAGACCUGAUGCGAUCUACUCUACUGUAACUUCAGAGAGAUAAGAUCCUGUCUUCGAUCUGUUCCGCUGUAACCUCAGGGAGAUAAGAUCUGAAAGUCUUCGGUCUACUCCACUGUAACCUCAGGGAGAUAAGACCUGACGCGAUCUACUCUGCUGUAACUUCAGAGAGAUAAGAUCCUUCAUUUUAAUCCACUCCACUAUAAUCUCAGGGAGAUAGGAUUACUAACUUUAAUCUGCUCCGCUGUAAUCUCAGGGAGAUAAGAUCUGAAAUUCUUCAGCCAGCUUCACUACAACCGAGAGAGGUAAGGUUCGUCUUCGACCUGUUUCACUGUCAAUGCAAGAAGGCAAGAUCUGUUGUCUUCAACCAGCUCCAUCACAACCGAGGAAGGCAAGGUUUGUGUCUUCGACCGGCUUCGCUGUCAAUGCAGGAAGGCAAGAUCUUUUGUCUUCAACCAGCUCCAUCACAACCGAGAGAGGUAAGGUUUGUGUCUUUGACCUGUUUCGCCGUCAAUGCAGGAAGGCAAGAUCUUUUGUCUUCAACCAGCUCCAUCACAACCGAGAGCGGCAAGGUUUGUGUCUUUGACCUGCUUCGCCGUCAAUGCAGGAAGGCAAGAUCUUUUGUCUUUAACCAGCUCCACUGCAACCAAUGAAGGCAAGGCUUUGUUUUCGAUCUGCUUUGCUGUUAACGCAGGAAGGCAAGAUCUGCUUAUUUAACCAGCUCCACUGUAACCAAUGAAGGCAAGGCUUUGUUUUCGAUCUGCUUCGCUGUUAACGCAGGGAGGCAAGAUCUGCUUCUUCACUGAUCUGUUCUCUAGGGAACAUGACCUGUAUGUUCUAUUUUAUGAACCUAAUUGUGCCUAGUGAUUAGGAUGACAUGAAAAUGCUCCUAACUAGAUGUGUAUGAAUGACAUUUGAAUGAAUGCAAAAUGAAAAUGGUUCCUUAAUGCUUAGGUUAUCAUCACGUAAAAGCUUAUUAAGGCUUUAUCACUGACGCGCUACAACGCCUUCUUGCUCGGCAGGCGUAUCCAAACAAACACUUAAUUUGAAUGGCCCCCAGUGUGAUCUUCAAACUUCAAUCCACUGGGAUGCAAAAUUUGUACCAUCAUUCUCCCACUGUAAUCCAAGAGUAGAAAGAUAUGGCUUUUCUCGAUCUUCUCCUAUCGCAAUUUAAGGACAUAGAAUGUGAAGCUCUUUGGUCCUUUACCUCAUUCCCAAGGUGUCAUACCAAAUGCUCAUACACAAUUGCAAAAUUUUAUUCUCCAAGAAAACCUUUUCUUUUUGCCUGGUGAACAUCACUUGUUGGUUCAUUGAAGCUUUGCUACCAACACGUCAUCUUGUCAUUUUGCUCAAUCAAUGUUUGGACAACAAAAUCUGAAAAGAUAGUCUUUAACUUAGACUCUUCCUUCUUAGAUAUUUCACCCUUUAAACUUGGUGUUUUCUAAACAAUAGCUCUGCCUCAGGUUCCUAUAUUAUUUAGAAACUUCUAGAGUAAUAUGCAAAACUUCCAUUGUGAAAGUGUUAUUAGUCCAUUAAUCAUUAUUCUAAUGCAACAUGCUUGCAAAGAGAACAUAACGAUAGAUAAAAUAGAAUUGAUUUGAGAGCAUAGCUCGAAAUGAAUGAAUUAUCAAGGGUAGUAAGAAUAAAAGAGGAAUUGAUUGGAAUACGUAUCUUGAAAAAGAAUGAAGUAUUCCAAGAACAACAACAAACUCAAUAUAUAAAUAGUAUGAAUGUUAGGCACCCUAGAUAUCGCAGCUUGAACUCCUCUGUACAAACUUUCUGAAGAUUUUCCUGAGUUUGACAUGUGUUUAGGAGAUCUACAUGACUCUGUCGAUGCCCCAAGACGUUUCCUUACCCUUUCAGGUAUAGCAAGAUCACCACAUGCCCCGAUCUGAUCACUUCAUGCCCUAUUCUGAUCAAUAUUUGAGCCGCCCUUCGGGUUUUCAACUCAAAUCCCUUUUGGCCUAAGGUGCCCUUUGCGGGUUUUCCCCUUAGCCUCUCUAUUUUUACUUUUUUAUUUUUUCAUUUUUCAUCAUUUUUUUUGUUUGACUCAAAGUACCCUUUGCAGGUUCUCACCUUGGUCCUUCCUUCUUCUUUAAAUGAAGUGUUUCUCAAUUGGAUCUGAGUUUAUAGGAUUGACAAUCUCACUCAGGAUCAGUGCUCCUCUGAAAAUGGUCUUCUUUACAACAUAAGGACAUUCUUGGUUUGGCAUUCAUUUCGCUUUAGAAUCCUUUCGUUAAGGAAGAAUCUUUUUCAACAUCCAACCCUCUCGUGGAAUUCUUUGAGACCAGCCUGUUUAUUAUGGGCUCAUAUUAUUUAUUUAUGGUACAUCCGACCCUGAUGAAUAGCUUUUAACCCUUUUCCUAGGGUCAACUGAUCACAUCGCGAUUGGGUCCCUCCAACAAGUAAUGAAGGGAUUUUAAUAGGUAAAACUACCUCAUUCUUGUAAACCAAAAAGAGAGGUGUUGCCCCAGUACAGAUGUUCGACAAACAAUGAGGGCAUAUGGUAAUUUCUCACGUCAAUCCUUGUAAGUCUCAGUCAUUUUCCUUCAAUUUUCGAUGUUUAACUCUAGGAACUUCAGUGACGAAUCAUGGUGUCCACUUCUGAGUUAAUUUGAGACCUCAGCUAUCAUGCUAUUGUUUAAGCUCAAAGCAUUCUCCAACACCAUCCUCACUGAAAUUCUGUAUCAGUAUAAAAUGACCUUGAUCCAUGCAGUAGCCUCUAAAAAAUGAAGCAAUGCCCAUCAGAAGUCUUCGAUAAUGGUGAUGUCCAUGCCCUAUUUUGCUCAAAAUUUGAGUCACCUUUUUUCGGGUUUUCAACUCAGAUCCACCUUUGGUCAAAGCGCCUUUUGCGGGUUUUCGCCUUGACCUCUCCUUUUUCUUUUUCUUUUUCUUUUUCUUUUUCUUUUUUCUAUUUUUGACUUUGAUUUUUUUAUUUUUGUUUUUCUUUUGAUUUUUUGAUUUUUUGAUUUUUUGAUUUUUUUUUUGAGUCUGAACUCAUGAGAUCAGGCAAGUCCUGGUCAUGUUUUUCGACCAGAAUCAAUGUUAUUCUAAAGUCUUCCACAUAAGAUCUUCCACUUUCAUCUUGUAUGUGAAAAACCUUCUUUGGUACCAGAUUUUUUUCAUAGAGCCCUUUUGGGACGCAACUACGACAAAACUUUGGAUCUUCCUCUUUAACCAGGAUAAAAUCCAACAACAUCUUGAAAGGAUGGAAACUCAACUUCAAAUGGGCAAAGCUAUGCUGAAUCAAUGAGAGAGGCAUUGCCCCGGCAAAGAAUUGCAUCGUUCGCACUGUAAAUUUCUAACAACAUGCUGUUGUGCAGGUUUUAUUAUAAGAAUCGAGGCAUACCCUGGUAUGAUCAUACAAAGNNNNNNNNNNNNNNNNNNNNNNNNNNNNNNNNNNNNNNNNNNNNNNNNNNNNNNNNNNNNNNNNNNNNNNNNNNNNNNNNNNNNNNNNNNNNNNNNNNNNUAACUCAAAAAGGUCUUGCUUCGCCUCUGUGGUCAGGUCAAUUCUAGUCUUCACCAAGCUCACAAUUUCUAAUGAUUCCUUGAGAGGUAGGAUCUGUUUAUCCUCUUGUUCUACCAUCCUCAACAAGUCUGGGGAUAGGCUACAAUCUAUGUCAUCUUCAAAGUCGUAAGAUCCCUCUAAACACAUGUCUCGCUCAAAAGGAGAUUCUAAGUAUGUAGCAAAGUCAUUCACGUCGUUGAUAUCCAGGGACCUACUGUAGGUACAAAAGAAUAUACAAAGAAUGUAUGAAUUUAAGAAUAAUUAUCUGCACAGUAUGAUUAAAAAAAUGAUUUGGAUGAAAGAAUAAAAGAAUAAUCAUUCAAGAAAUGAAAGAAUAUUGGUUCAAAAGAUCGCAAAGAUGCAUUCCAUUAAAAUAAUGAUGUUCAGACAUGAGCCUAUUUCACAAAAGACUUCUUGUUGCCUCUAGGCUAAAAGCAACAAGUGUGUUUUGAAUAUUACUCUGAGUAAGCUCUAAAUACUAUAGGGGUUCCUUUAGAACACUCCCAAGUUUAUAAGGGCGAACAUCUAAUAAGAUCUCUUCUCCGAUUGCUUCUUCGUAUUCGGCACUGAUGUGAACGUUUCCCAACAUCUCUUCAUUCAUGCAUUCCUUUCAUUAUCCGUAUGAUUGAGUAGCGGGUUUUCUGUACUAGAUAAAUCGUCCAAUUUGACAAUGCCUAUACUGAUAAGCCUUUCAACCACCUUUUUAAAGGCAAUGCAAUUUUCUAUGGAAUGCCCCGUAUUUCCCGCAUAAUAUUCGCAUUGUGCAUUCGCAUCGUGCCAUUUGGGGUACGGAGGCUGUGGAGGUUUUGAGUAGAAAGGGGAAACGAUGUGCGCAUCGAAUAACUUUUAGUACAGCUCCUUAUACGUCAUUGGAAUUGGCGUGAACUGGAGGUUCUCAGUACCUUGUUUCACCUCAGAUUCUUACUUUAAAGGACUCCGACGUCUGGUAGUUUCUGUUUUUGAUCGGUCCACAGUGAUUGGUUUUGAGUGGCCCUUGUUAUAUAUAUUCGCAUUAUUCCCCCUAUUCCCCUUCUUCUUUGGGGCCUCUAUAAUAUCUGGGUACCCUGCCCCUACCUGCUUCAUUUCUUCUGGAUCAUCACGUGCAACAAGAAAAUUAUUCCUCAAAUUGGAUCUUAGGCCCGUCAAGCCACUUACUGGUGCUAUUGUACUAGUCUGAUAUUGUUGAGAUCUUAUGGUAAAGAGUGCCCCUUGUGGACGCCCAUCCGGCUGGACUUGGACACUUGUCGGAGUAUAAUCUAGGGAAUGGGCAAGAUCAUUAUUAUCAACCCCAAAGUGGACCACUGGGUCCUUCCUUUUUUCUAACUCUCCAGCUGGCAGUCGGUUGAACUGACUCAUCAAGGUUCUUUGUAAUUCUAGCAUCUGAUCUCUCAUCUCCUGUUGAAAUUCAGUCAAUUGCUCCCGCAUCUGAAUCUGCAUUCACUCUAAUAUCUCCAACCUUUGGUCCAUUCCUUAGUUUCUAUUCGGGUACUGCAAAAAUGUUGGUUUUCCAGACUUUCUGAAAUAAUUUUACCUAAUUAGGGUCACUUCGUGAAAAUCUAAUGCAUGUGAUACAAUGUAAUGCAAAUGCAUGAAAUGAAUGCCUAAAGAGACGUUGAUUCUGAUUCAAUUAUAUUUAGGAAACUUUUCUAGAAAGUAAAUUCCCUUACAUAAAACGGAUACAUGUACGACCUCACCCUCAUAUUCCAAGAAACAACAUCGGUUUUUUCUUCAUCCACAUGUUUGAGGUAAUCUCUCCAAUAGAUGCCAUUGCUAGCUCAUUUUCUUGAUCUUGGUCGCGAUCCAUCAUCUGCCCAUCUUCAUAAAGCUCGUCCGCCUCUUUAAAGGGGUGGAAUGUUGAAGGCUCUUAGAUAAUUGCCUUGAAUCCUCAGGCUACGAAGCAGGGUCACGAACUCUUCCAUCGCCAUUCUUGUGUUUCUCAGAAUAUAUUCGGGAAGUCGUAUUGUUUUCCACUUUAUCAAGGAAUCCGUAUUCCAUGACAAACUUUCUAAUUUAGUAAUCGGACUUGAAUCAAUAUCUCUUUCCUAAGAUGCAAAUGCGAUGCAAUCAUAAUCAAAGCACAAAAAGAGGGGUUAGUACAAAAAUAAACAAGGAAAACAGAAAGUACCUAAUCGGGUGACUACUAGGGGUUUGGAGUGGCUCUAUCUAGGCUAAGUUCCUAAGUCCACUAUAUGAGGUUUGGCUCUAAAGAUAAGGUACCCGAACUAGCAGAUUCCUCGAUCUUCACCCAUUAUAGGUUCAUACAGACCGAGUUCGGUUCAGGGGAAUACAUUUCCCUAUGGCUGCACGGAGAUGAAAAUCUCACGAAGACAUAGGUACGGAUGUAUCCCGAAAGCGAUCCACUAUCCUGCACGGAGGUGAAAACCUCACGAAGGAGUAGCUUCUCACUCCCACUUAAAAGGUGUGACCAGCAGUCAUGCAAUGCAAUGCAGAAAGAUAUAAAAAUUUAAAAUACAAAACAUGAUGAAAACUAUAACUCAAAACAAAUGAAAUGCAAUGAGAGGAUCGUAUAUUUAAAUCAAAUUUUUGACUUUCGACAAAAAGACAAAAAGUAAUCAACUCGUGGCUUGACUCUCUUAUUUUUGGGUCCCCAGCGGAGUCGCCAAGCUGUUGACACCAUUUUUUUGGAUGGAAAACGGGGUCGACUUGGGUUUUAAAAAAUGAAACAAAAACGGGAGUCGCCACCAAUCCUUUUUUAUAAGGUGUGAUUGGAUCACCUCGAAAAGUGGUUAUUUUUAAUAAAAGGUUUGAUUUUAUUAAAACAACAAGUUUGGUCCACGAAAUUCAGAAAAAAUGGGUUCGGGAGUCGGUUACGCACGAGGAAGGAUUAGCACCCUCGAUACGCCCAAAAUUGGUACCUAGUUGAUCACUCAAGGUCUGCAUGUCGGAAAUUGAAAACUUUAAAGAAAUUUAAAAUACGAUCCUUAAAAAAACUUGAAUGGCAUGGAUUAAAAUUUAAGAGGAUAUUUGGCAAUUUGGUUAAACGAGAAAUCGAAACCCAGCACAUUAGGGCACGUUCCUCGAAUUUCCGAAGGCAAAACAUUGCCUUAUUUUGAAAUAUAUAUAUAUAUUUUAAAAAGGAUAUUAAGUCAUUUGGUUGAACGAGAAAAAUCAACACCCAGCACCUUAGGGCGUGUUUUCUCGAAUUUCCAAACGCAAAACAUUGCCAUAUUUUGAAAUUUUUUAAAGGAUAUUAAGCCAUUUGGUUGAAUGAGAAAAAUCGACACCCAGCACCUUAGGGCGUGUUUUCUCGAAUUUCCAAACGCAAAAUAUUGCCUUAUUUAGGAAUAUUUUCCUUUUUUAAAAUAUGAUAUUAAUAUGCAGAGUGGAAUAAUAAAUAUGAUAGUGUGAAAUAAAAAUGAACAAAAAUAAAUAAUAAAACAAAUCAAUCAUGCAUAUAUCAUAGCAAAUAAAUAAAUAAACUAAAGCAUAAAGAUGGACAUAUAAAUGAAUACAUAAGUGAACAUAAAAUUAAAGGAAAAUAUAUGAAAAUUAUAAAAUAUAAAAAAGGUAGGUACAUAUGAGGGAAAUAUGUAUGUAUAUACAUAAAAUUAUGGAAAUAUAAAAGAUGUGUAUAUAAAAGUAUGUAUAUAUGUGUAUACUUUUUAUAAAAGAGAACUAUGUACGUAUAAAUAUGUUAUAUAAAUGUAUUAACGUGUGUAUAUAUAUAUAUAUACUUUGAAAUUAUAAAAUAAAAACAUAUGUACAUAUUUUAAAAUUAUUAUAUAAAAUAUAUAUAUAUAAGUAAGUAUAUACAUAUUCGUGAGAAAAAAAUAUAAAUAUACAUAUAUAUAAAUAUAUAUAAUGAGUAUUUAUGUAUGUAUAAAAAAAUAAAAAAUAUAUAUACAUAUAUAUAUGUAAGCAAUUAUAUAAUAAUAAUAUAAUAUGUCACAUAUAUCUAAGAUUUAUAUAAGUAAAUAUAAGUAUAAAUAUAAUGAUAGUAAUAAGAAUAUUAGUAAUAAUACUAAUAAUAAUAAUAAUAAUAAAACUACUGAAAAAAGGACUAAAUCGAACUACUGAAAAAAGGACUAAAUCGAAAUAAAAUAAAAAUACUGGGCGAAUUUGAAAUAAAAAAGACGAAAAGGACCAAAUGGGAAAUAAUCCCCAUCCUCAAACGCGCAGGUUCAUAGGACCAAACGAAAAGCCAAAGGAGUNNNNNNNNNNNNNNNNNNNNNNNNNNNNNNNNNNNNNNNNNNNNNNNNNNNNNNNNNNNNNNNNNNNNNNNNNNNNNNNNNNNNNNNNNNNNNNNNNNNNNNNNNNNNNNNNNNNNNNNNNNNNNNNNNNNNNNNNNNNNNNNNNNNNNNNNNNNNNNNNNNNNNNNNNNNNNNNNNNNNNNNNNNNNNNNNNNNNNNNNNNNNNNNNNNNNNNNNNNNNNNNNNNNNNNNNNNNNNNNNNNNNNNNNNNNNNNNNNNNNNNNNNNNNNNNNNNNNNNNNNNNNNNNNNNNNNNNNNNNNNNNNNNNNNNNNNNNNNNNNNNNNNNNNNNNNNNNNNNNNNNNNNNNNNNNNNNNNNNNNNNNNNNNNNNNNNNNNNNNNNNNNNNNNNNNNNNNNNNNNNNNNNNNNNNNNNNNNNNNNNNNNNNNNNNNNNNNNNNNNNNNNNNNNNNNNNNNNNNNNNNNNNNNNNNNNNNNNNNNNNNNNNNNNNNNNNNNNNNNNNNNNNNNNNNNNNNNNNNNNNNNNNNNNNNNNNNNNNNNNNNNNNNNNNGGCUUUAUAGCCGAUUACAUGUUAUUAUUUUGCUUUUUUUGUUCUUUGCGUGUCUUCUCCCCUUGCAGGUGGAGUCGGUGGCGACGUGACGUGACGGAGGCGUGUGAGGCGCAGUGGCAGGUAGGCAUAGUAGGGUAGGGCGGCAGCAGAGGCUAGAAGAGACCUGAAGGCCCUAGGUACGGCGCCUAGGGUUUUUUCUUUCAUUUUGUUUGGCUGAAAAUGUUUAGUUUUGGGCUUAGGGUUUCAGUUUGUAGUGGGCUGGUAUUGUAAUGUGGGCUUGUGGGUUGUAAUUGGGUAUUGGGUCUUUUAUUUAUAAUGGGCCCCGGGCAAAUUUGGGCUUUUACACAUAUAUAUUAUCAUGUAGGUUAUAACAUCAAUUUUUUAUGAAGUACAUUUGUAUUAUCAUACCGUAUUCAACAGACUGUCAUUCAAGUGGCCAUCCGAGUUUUCUAUUUUUCAUCAUAUGAUGAUUCCCUAUGGAAUUAGCCCUUUAUUAACUGAUACAUUUUCAAUAAUUUCCCUUUAAAGAGGAAUAGUAUUGACAGACAUAUCUCUCACUUAGUUCAUCCUUUCUAGUACCUCUUUCCGUCAAAGGGAUUCUAACUAACUCUUCUUUACCGAUUUGUUUGUAACUCUUCUUUUCAAAUCAAUCCUUCCUACAUGACAAACCUUUUGUCUUCUUUAAUUAUGAACAAAUCACAAUUCUUAGAAGGGUUCAAAGGGUUAAGUGUUUUGAAGGACAGUGGCAGAUCAGAUUUAUGUCUAAAGAAACAAACUUAAUUGCGGACCGAUUGGCUAAGCUUUGCCUUGCAUGAAAGUCGAGCUUACAAAUUUUUGAUGUACCUCCUAAUGAAGUAUUGGGGACUCUUCAACAAGAUAAAGCUUGUGGUGCUUUUGAACAAUUGAAUUGAUAUGAUUUUGUUUUACCUUCACCAAAAAAAUACAAAUUAUAACAAAAGAAAAAUAGUAUAGAUAUAUAAUCAUAAAUUUUAUAAAACAUAAAUUCUCAAAGAGGCAUAGCACAUUAACUACAAAGGUAGCCUACUGGUGAUAAAAUCUUCCAGUUAAACAGAUAAACUCCAAAUUUAUCAUAUGACAAUAAAUGAAAAAGAAAGGUGGAACAAGCCAAAAUAAGCAGAUCAUUUAAGCAAGAAGAGCACAAACAAACAAACAAAAAUUCCUUCUUUUAUUAUGUUAAGUCGUGCCGUCUUUGUAAGGAAUAAAAAGGUGGCAAGAUGUCUUUGUUCCCAGGCUCGUAAACUCGCUCCUAGUUCUUCUCCCAUUUUCGUCCACUAGGUAAGGGGUAAAGUGCAAUUUUACCUUUACCGAUUUAAAAUUUUUAAAGAACCUAAAUGAAUAAUUUUUCAUUUUAGGGGGAGCUGGCCCUGCUAGUCCUUUUUAGGGGUGAACUCCUUUUGGUUCAGCUUUUGGGUACAAACUAAAUAAAUAAGAAAGACUAAAAAAGAUAAAGAACAAAUUUCUUGGAGCUUUCCUCUGACAAAUAUUUUAAUUAUGAAUGGCAUUCUAUGGUGCUAAUUACAGUUUAAUUUCGGUCCUUAAAAAAGUUUUUUUUUCUUUUUUUAUUUCACUCCGGCCUCUUUGUGAAAUUCCUUGGAGCUUUCCUUUGACAAAUAUUUUCAUAUGAAUGGCAUUAUAGUCCUUUUAUUCUAUUGUGCUAAUCACUUGGUUUCUUUGGGUCAUGGGAUUAUAAACCUUUCGUCUUCAUUAAUUAUAAACAAUUCUAAGUGCUUGCCAAUUAUUAUUAUGAAGUCAUUCUUUAAUAUAAGUUAUAUAUUAGUCUUGAUAUAGCUUUUCCUUAUUCCAUUUCUUGUUGGUUCUCAACUGUUGAAGGGUUCAAUAUCAUUUCUACUCUCCUUUUCUGCAGUCAUCAUAUCAAGCGACUUCACAGGGAAAACGAUGAAGAAAUAGUGGAUAAUUGAUGAAAGAGAGUAAUGAUAAUAAUUCAUCAUAAUCAGAUCUUUACGAGUAUUGAAUUGAAUAAUAUAAUUAAAUUUAAAUCAAUCAAUUAAUUAAUUCACACAUUUCUUUUAUAAAGUAAAUGUUUAAUAUUCGAAAUUAUUUUAAUAAAUCUUUUCUAAAAUCUUAACCUCAAGAUUUUAUUGACAUGUCAAUUGUCAAUUGUAACCUUAAUGCUUAUGCAUUUUAAAAAUUAUACAAAUCUCACAUUGUUGAAGAAAGAUUUUGAAAUUCUUGUUUAUAAGCAGGAAAAAUUAAGUUUAGAGGGUCUUGUGACUUGUGCAUUGAGCCGCAAAGCCAAUGCAAUUUACAUCCAAUGUCUUUUUUGUUUUUGAAAUUAUUUUUUUACUCAAUUUUUGAGAGUUAAAAGAAAAGUAAUUAAUCGUUUUAACUUGUAAGAUCUAUAUUUAGUCAAACUAAAAAUAACUUAAUCGAUUGAAGUUAUUUUUAGUUAAAUACAGAUUCAUUUUGAAGAUCAACAGAGAUUGGUGUUUGAAUGAAACAUGGAUGACAAGGGAAGAAUAGAGCAAUAGGAGAAAUAAUGAUACUGACUUGUUGUAGAUUGUGUUGGAAUAGCUAGUACCAUAAUUAGGGGAGAGUAAAACUCGAUUCGACUCAAAAAAAAUUUUAAUUUUAAAUUUUGAGUUAAUUGAAUCAAGUUAUUCGGUUUUUUUUAGCCAACUCAAAUAAGUAAUUUGAGUUUUGAGUUCAAGUAGAGUUAUAUUUUACAAUUUGAAUAAUAGAUUGGUAUAAAUACACCUUUGAUCCCUGUCAAUUUUAAAAAUGAGCAAAAUGAUUUCUCUAAAAAAAAAAAACCAAACUUGUUUAAAGUAUUGUGAUAAGGGGAGUAGUUUCACAUGGAUGAACACACAUUUUCAUUCUGUUAUAGACCGAAGAAACCUGAAGAAGAUCAUGUGGCACUUGAUACUAGCAUACUUUUAAUUACCACAACUAGUUUAGAUUUUGUGAAGAAGAGGGAGCACUGUGUGCUAUUGCUAUUGCAAUUCUAUUGUUGCAAUUUUGCUACUACAAUUUAGGGAGACUUAUUUUUAUCAACAAAAAUGUGACAAGGUUAUCUCGAUUUAAAAAUGCUUUAUUCUCAUAAAAAUGUAAGUAUGAACAAACAUAAAAUAUAUUAAUCGAUCAUGAUUGUCCGCACAUGAACGGAGAAAUCUUAGUACAUAAUAUUUUUUACUUGUUAUCUUAUUACAUAAUAAAGUUGUAAAGAAUUUAAACUAUAAUAAUUUAUAAUUUAAAUUAAUUUAAUAAAGUACCUACUGAAUCAUUAGCCUUCUAAAAUUUUAUUAGACCAUUAUUAGUGAAUUAAAUAAACCUAAUUGACUCAUAUAAAUAAUUGGAUCCAUCGUGCACUGCCAUGAGGCGUGAAUUACAUUCUAGUUAGUCUAAAUGUUGUAUUAAUUUCUUUUAACUUUUGGUUGAGCUUUUGGGUACUAACUAAAUAAAUAAGAAAGACUACAAAAAGAUAAAGAGAUGUCCUCUUUGCAGUGGCGUUUGUUGGGGUUAGCAAGGCACGGCUUUGUUAAAAUAGAAAUUUGUUUAUUUAAGUUUUUUAAAAAUUUUAAAAUUUUAAAUUAAUAAAGAUAAAUUAUAUUUUAGUUAACUUAAAAAUGAUAAAAAUUUGAUUUAAUCUUCUAAAAAUUAUAAAGAUACAGGUUAUUAAAAAUUACAGUUUAAUUUUGACCCCUAAAAAAGUUUUCUGACUUUGCCUCUAUCUCGUUGUAAAAUUUCUUCGAGCUUUUCUUUGACAAAUAUUUUCAUAUGAAUGGUAUUAUAGUCCUUUUAUUCUAUUGUGCUAAUCACUUGGUUUCUUUGGGUUAUGGGAUUUCCCACUUAGUUAUAUAAUAAUUAUUACCAAAAUAAUAAUCUCAUAAAAUAUGAGAUUUAUUAUAACAAACUUUAUGACAUAGGAAUAUUAUAUUUUUAUACCAAUUUUAUUGCUAUUUAUAUUCUUUAAAUUUUUAAAUAAAAAAUCAUGUGUUUAAAUAUAUUUGGAUUCAAUUUUUUAUUAUUGUAAUAACAAAAAAAUUAAUUAAAGUAAUACUUAGUUAGCGAUAUAGUACAAUUAUCUUCAUAGGAGAGUGCAUAAUCAAAAAGAUUCUAACAUUUUAUCCUCUUUUCGUGCUGCUUGAAUCUCCAAAAACGGUGGCCCACUUCAACAAACCUUUUGUCUCCCUUAAUUAUGAACAAUUCUAAGUGUUUGCCAAUUAUUAUUAUGGACUCAUUCUUUAAUGUAAGUUAUAUAUUAGUCUUGAUAUAUAAAGCCUAAAAAAGAUAAAGAACAAAUUUCUUGGAGCUUUCCUCUGGCAAAUAUUUUAAUUAUGAAUGCCAUUCUAUUGUGCUAAUUACAGUUUAAUUUCGGUCCUUAAAAAAAAGGUUUUUUUUUUAAAUUUCAGUCCGGCCUCUUUGUGAAAUUCCUUGGAGCUUUCCUUUGGCAAAUAUUUUCAUAUGAAUGGCAUUAUAGUGCUUUUCUUCUGUUGUGCUAACCACUUGGUUUCUUUGGGUUAUGGGAUUAUAAACAUUUCUAAGUGCUUGCCAAUUAUUAUUAUGAAGUCAUUCUUUAAUAUAAGUUAUAUAUUAGUCUUGAUAUAAGGUUAAGGAGGAGUUACGUGUAGUUCUAGGUAUUAUAUCAAAUUUUCUCAGAAUAUUUUUUAACAUUUGUAUAAUUAAAUAUUCAAGUUUAUGUGAUAUAAAUUAUAUAAUAUAUAAAAAUACAUUAUAAAAGUAUAAAUCAAUCUAGGUUUGGGCUAGAGGUAAUCGUGGGUUGGGCCUCAAUAUGAUAUUAACAUACUUUAUACUUGUCCAAACCCACCCAUAUUUUCCAAAGAAUAAUCCAAGUCCGUUUAGGCCCGUCUAUAUUAUUUUUUAAUUUUUUUAAAAAUAUUUAUAUUAUACUAUUUUAAUAUUUAAUAAGUUGCAUAUUUUUUAUUUAUUAAAUUUUUUAUAUAGUCCUCUUAACAUUAUUUUAUUGCUUACAUUAAGCCAGUAUUAUAUAUUUACGAAAGAUUAACUCAAGCCCUUUUAGGCCGCCCAUAUUAUUUUUUCAAAUUUUUUAAAAAUAUUUAUUUUAUUUUAAUAUCUAAUGCUCUCUAGUGUUCGUUCUGAUGAUUGGUGGUAUUAACGUUGGAUUUUGGUUUCAUUUAUUAAGUAAAAUAAACAAAACUCACAAUAUUUAGAGGUUCAUGAUUGGAUUUCUCUCCGAUUUGUAUCAAGAAUUUUGACCUUAAAAUAUAAAAAUUCGAUCUAAUCCCUCUAUCUGAACUGCGAUCCGACAAAUUCCCAAUCAACUUGGUCAUUUGAAUUCUUUCAAUAACCUUUGGGAUAAUGUUUAAAACCUUACAUAUUUCUAAUUAACAUCAUACACUUUCUAACACUAAUCAUAUCUUUUUAAUAAUAUUUUAACUUUAAUUAGUGUUGAUUAAUUAAAUAAAUUUGAAGCUAAAAAUCAAACAAAAUUAAUGAACAAUAAUAGUAAAACAAGGCUUAUGGAUUUGGUUUUGUUCGUGGAACUAAAUUUAUGAUUUUAGAGAAAGGGUUAAAUAAAGAUUGAGGGCUAAAAAGGUUUAGGAUUAUAGAGUCAAGGGUUUUGUUUGUUGAAUAAAACAUUGUGUGCAUUUUGAGUUUUUAUUCAUUUCACCACUUUAAAAAAAAUUAUUUAAAUGAAAGAUUGUUUAUCUAUUUAUGCAUGGAUAUUGGUUACACAUGAAAGGAGAAAUCUUAUUAGAAUUUAUAAUUUAAAUUAAGUUGGCCUUCUAAAAUUUUCUUAGACCAUUAUUAGUGAAUUAAAUAAACCUAAUUGGCUCAUAUAAAUAAUUUGAACCAUCGUGCAGUGCCAUGAGACAAGAAUCUACUUAGUCUAAAUGUUGUAUUAAUUAACCAUUAAUGAAUAUUAAUGGUAAAAAGCCAAGAUGUAAGUCCUUAUCAUAAUAAAGAUAAAAGAAAAUUACUUUGGCACCACCUCUCAUUAAUUCAUAAUAUAUAUUUGUGUGAAUGUUUAUUAAUCUUCACAAAGGAUGGUCUUCUUUAAUUAUGAACAAUUCUAAGUGCUUGUCAAUUCUUAUUAUGAAGUCAUUCUUUAGUAUCUUUUCUGCAGUCAUCGUAUCAAGCGACUUCCAGGAAACCGAUGAAGAAACAGUGGAUAAUUGAUGGAAGAGAGUAAUGACAAUAAUCCCACCACAAUCAAGUGUUAGAAUUGAAUAAUAUAAUUCAACUAUACAAAUCUCAUAUUGUUAAAGUGAAAUUUUGAGAUUCUUGUCUAUAAGUCAUUAUACUUCAUUAAGUUAACAAAUUAAAUUUAGACCGUGAACUUGUGGCCUACAAGGCUAAUGCAAUUUACAUCCAAGUCCUUUUUGUUUUUAAAAUUACUUUUUACUGAAUGUUUUAGAAAACUUCUUAACCUGUAAAAAUAUUUUAAUCGACUGAAGCUAUUUUCAGUUGAGUUCAUUUUAACCUUUUUCAAACUAUUUUUAGCUAAUUCAAUCGACUUACCUAUGUUAUAGUUAACCAGUGAAAUUUUUAUAAAUACUCCUUCAAAGUUCCCAAUUUAUUCUUUACAUUCUCUUUCAAAAACUCCUUGUUUACUCAAAAGCUCUCUUCUACAAUUUUAACCGAAUAUUUAUUUGAUUUGUUUUUCCUACCAAUUAAUAGAAUUGUUUGUUGAAUUCUAGAGAAUACGUAAAUUCACGAAAUAUUUGUAAGGACUGUUGACAACAUUUUUUUUGAUGAAAAACGGGGUCCAAUUGGGUUUUGAAAACGAAAAAGGGAGUCGCCACCAAUCCUUUUUUGAGGUGUGAUUGGGUCACCUUGGAAAGAGGUUGUUUCUAAUAAAUAAUUUAAUUUUAUUAAAACAACGGUUUUGGUCAACGGAAUCUAGAAAACGGGUUCGGGAGUCGGUUACGUACGAGGAAGGGUUAGCACCCUCGUAACGCCCAGAAAUUGGUACCUAGUUAAUUAUCUAAUGUCUUGAUGUCGAGAACUGAAAACUUGAAAAAUUUUUAAAAUACGAUCCCUUGGUAUUAAACAUUAAAAAUUUGGGAAAAGAAGCAUAUUUUAUGUUAAUCGAGAAAAAGAAUCGUAUCCAGUAAGUUAGGACACAAUAUCUCGAAUUCCCAAUAUACAAAAAAAUGCUUAUUUAAAAGGUAUUUUUAGCUAUCUCGGAUUCGAAAGUGAGGUCACAACCAGUAAGUUAGGAUGCGAUUCUUUUUAAAUCCCUAGAUCAUUUAAAACUUGAGUUUGAAAGAUUCGUGUAUUUAGAUUUAUUGUGAAAAUCGAAACCCAGUAAGUUAGGGUACGGCAUUCUCAAAUCUAAACACGAGAUUUUGCUUAUUCAAAAAUUGUAAUUUUAUGUAUUGAAAUGAAUUAAUCUAACAUGAAAUUAUAAAACCCGAUGUUAAUACUCAUAACAAGACGAUAUUGAAUACAAUAGUGCAAAAUAAUACGAACAAUUGCAACGUAAAUAAGAUAAAUACAAAGUAUGAAUCAAUAACAUACGAAAUAGCAAUGUAUACAAGCAAAUAAAAUUAAAGCAUUCAUUCAGAUCAAUAACGCAAAUGAAAUAAAUAACUAAAUGAAUACGAAUAUAAAAAGUAAAAAGAUAUAUGUGUGUGCAUAAAAUUAUGAGAAUGUAAAAAAUCUAUGUACGUAAAAAUAUGUGUAAAUAUNNNNNNNNNNNNNNNNNNNNNNNNNNNNNNNNNNNNNNNNNNNNNNNNNNNNNNNNNNNNNNNNNNNNNNNNNNNNNNNNNNNNNNNNNNNNNNNNNNNNNNNNNNNNNNNNNNNNNNNNNNNNNNNNNNNNNNNNNNNNNNNNNNNNNNNNNNNNNNNNNNNNNNNNNNNNNNNNNNNNNNNNNNNNNNNNNNNNNNNNNNNNNNUAUAUAUAUAUAUAUAUAGACAUGCGGCUAUAUACAAUAAAAAUAAUAAAAGAUAAAUAUGUAUAGGUAUUCAUAAAAAUAAAAUAUGUGUAUUCGUAUAUUAAAGUAUAAAGUAUAAAUAAUAUAUAUCUAAGUAGAUAUACAUAUGUAAGUAAACUUGGAAAGUUAUGCGUACACAUACUAUGACAAUAUGAAUGUAUAUGUAUAAAUUAUAGAAUGUAUUAAAGCGUAAGUAUGUAAAUAGGUAUGUACACAUAUAUCAUAAUCAAAAAACAGUAUAAAUGGGUAAACAAUAAAGGCAAAUAAUAAAAAUAAAAGCAAUAAUGAUAAUAAUAAUAAUAAUAAUGGUAAUAAAACUAAUUACUUUUAAAAAAAAUAAAACGGGACUAAAUAAAAAAAAAAGCAAAAUCCCAGGGGAGAAAAGUAAAAAGAAAAAAACUAAAACAGGGACCAGAUUGGAGGGAAGCCCAGAAGCAGGAGGACUGAAAGGGUAAAUAGACCCUCAGUCCAAAACACGCGGAUCCCUGGGAUCCAUCGGGUCAACGAGCGGGUCGCGCUCAAUACGGCGCCGUUUUGGAGCCAUUGAUCAGACUCCAAACGGCGUCGUUUCAGACAACACCUAAGGCCCAAGAAAUACCUUAAUCUGAUAGCCUCCAUUCAUUUUUUAAACAAACAAAGAAAAAGAAAAUAAAAAAACAAAAAAGGAAAACUGAGAGCCCGAAUGCUCUCCUCCCCACGCCUCUCUCGGCCCUUAAGCUCAGGCCGCCAUCUCCGCCUCCAUGGCCAAUGGCCGGAGUUGCGCGAGAACGGCCCCUAGGCCUCCCCCAUUUGCGGCGUCCCCGAAGGCUAAGCCUUCUCAACCGCGAGAUCAAAAGGAAAAGGGAUGAAAUGCCCCUUUUGGCUAGUCUCCGACGACGGCAAGGGUGGGGUUCCGACACCAGCCCGUCGAAGCGGUAAGGUAUUUACUCCUUUCCCUUUUAGUUCAUUUUCUUUGUUGAACGAUUGCGAAGGGAAAAAAAUAAUAAACAAUAAAUAAAGAGUAAAGUAAAUAAGAAACAAGAACAGAGAAGAAUAAACUGGAGUCAACCUUUUUGAUCUGUUUUUCCUUUUUUUGAAUUCAAAACGCUGUGUAAAAAAUUGUACAGAGAUAUUGUUUGGCUUUUAUAGCCUUUUCCAUUGUAUUUUGAUUGUAUUUUGCUGUCUUGCACUAUCUGUUGCGUGCUCCUGCUUUUUUCUAUCAUUUUUUUGCAGGCGUUGAUGAAGCUAGUAGCGGCGGGUGGCGAUGGGACAAAACGAAUGAUGAUGGCAGAGGGAUGGGCGCGGUGCUAGGCUUGGCUAGGGUUUCCGUUUUCUGAAACCCUUGACUGGGUUCUGGGCCUGUUGGGUUUAUUGGGCCGUUUGGGCUCUGUUAAUUGGCCCCGGGCAAUAAUUGGGUUGUACAGCUGCCCCUCUUUGCUCGUUGUCGUGUAACAAUAACAGAGCAAAGACUAAGAAAGACCAAUUUUUGCCCAGUCUUGCCGAGGAAAAGAUUCUCCGUUGCGGCUUCAAUCUGUUCCGCUGCGUCGCCUGGAAGUAAGAUUCGCCGUUGUGGCUUCGAUCUUUUAAAUUGCAAUGUCGGCUUGAAUCUCAAAAAACGGUGGCCCACUUCAACAAACCUUUUGUCUCCCUUAAUUAUGAACAAUUCUAAGUGUUUGCCAAUUAUUAUUAUGGACUCAUUCUUUAAUGUAAGUUAUAUAUUAGUCUUGAUAUAUAAAGCCUAAAAAAGAUAAAGAACAAAUUUCUUGGAGCUUUCCUCUGGCAAAUAUUUUAAUUAUGAAUGCCAUUCUAUUGUGCUAAUUACAGUUUAAUUUCGGUCCUUAAAAAAAAGGUUUUUUUUUUAAAUUUCAGUCCGGCCUCUUUGUGAAAUUCCUUGGAGCUUUCCUUUGGCAAAUAUUUUCAUAUGAAUGGCAUUAUAGUGCUUUUCUUCUGUUGUGCUAACCACUUGGUUUCUUUGGGUUAUGGGAUUAUAAACAUUUCUAAGUGCUUGCCAAUUAUUAUUAUGAAGUCAUUCUUUAAUAUAAGUUAUAUAUUAGUCUUGAUAUAAGGUUAAGGAGGAGUUACGUGUAGUUCUAGGUAUUAUAUCAAAUUUUCUCAGAAUAUUUUUUAAUGGAGGGCGUUGGAUUGAAGAUGGUGGAAGGAUUUUAAACUCUCUGGCUGAUGGGUUCCAAUGGCAGCCUUAUCCUUUGAAGGAUCAAGUAAACAUAAUAAUCCAUGACAAGCACCAUAAACAGAGGGGAGAUCAUUCUUAAAAAAGGGCAAGUGAAUGUUUUGUUUUACUAUAUAAUUUUGAUCUUUUUCAUUUGAAAGUUGAGAGUAAUAAAGUUAGAAGGCGUUACCAUCAAGGCGACUAAGAAGUAGAUUAAGGUUGUUGUUUUCAAGGUUAUUGGAAAUGAAAUGAGGAGUUUGAAUAGAAGAACACCAAUACUUACAAACACAGUUGAAGCGAGUAAGGGAUUUAACUGGAAGCUUUGACAGAAUUUCAAUAACCAAAGCUUCUGGCAAUUCAAACCUUGGCCUCUGCAUCUUGCUAUUUUGUUGGUGUUAAGAGGCAAUAGCAAGCUGGUUUCAGCUUGCUUGGACAGCAAGUGUCGAGCCUUGCUGAAGAAACAAACUCAAAAAGAAACAGAAAUCAAGCUUGCAAGUGGAAAAACAGAAAAACGAGAGAGAGUUUGAAUGAAAAACAAACUGAAAGUUUUUCAUUAACAUUAAACAAGGCAUUGAGCCAUUACAUAUAUUAGCUAACAUGUAAUACAAACAAGUAAUUGCCUAAUCAACUACCUAACUCCACUAAUCUGUCUUGAAACUUACAAAAAUAGCUUCAUCAUAUUGCUAUGUUGAUUUUCAAUCAAUCAACAUCAAAAUUACAUCAAAACAUUUAUCUACUUAGUUCAACAUGAACUAGAUUACAAAAUAAUUAAAAUUCAACUAAAACACAACAAUUAAUUUGGCAACUUCAAGCUCCAGCUUCUGCACAUCAUGGCUCGACUGCUUGUUGCCAUUUCUUCUUGUAUGGCCACCUUUGCAUAGGAACUAAUCUCAACACUCCUCCUUAGUUGCCAUGUUAGUGACACCUAGUUCCUUCUUCAACUUUAUAAACCUUGACACAUUUAAAGCUUUGGUAAAAAUGUCAGCAAUUUGCUCCUCCGAAUUGCAAUGAACCAGCUCGAUUUCAUGAGCUUGUUCCAUCUCUCUUAUAACAUGUAGUUUGAUGUUAAAGUGCUUCGUUCUGCCAUGAAAGAUGGGAUUCUUUGCAAUUGCAACAGCAGAUUUGUUAUCACAGUAAAUCUCUGUUGCUUCUUCUUGGUUUUGGUUUAAAUCAGCCAAGAUUUUUCUAAGCCAUAUGGCUUGAUUCACAGCAGAUGCAGCAGCAACAUAUUCAACUUCUGCUGUUGAUUGUGCCACCAGACUCUGCUUCUUAGAACUCCAGCAAAACAUGCCUGAGCCAAGGCUAAAUGCAUAUCCAGAUGUGCUUCUCAUGUCAUCACAUGAUCCAGCCCAAUCACUAUCGACAUAGCCUAUUAACUUCAUGUUUUCAGCUCUUUUGAACAUCACACCAUGGUUAAUGGUGCCUUUGAUGUACCUCAGCACUCGUUUAGCUGCUUGAAAAUGCUGAUUGUUGCAGCAAUUCAUGCAUCUGGAUAGCACACUAACUGCAAACAUAAUAUCGGGCCUUGUUGCAGUCAAAUAUAGUAGACUACAAAUGAGACUUUUGUACAUAGUCUCACAAACUGGUUCACCAGUUUCCUGCCUCGAUAGCUUCAUUCCAACAACCAUUGGUGUGCUUGUUGGCUUGCAGUUCUUCAUUGAGAACUUGUUUAAAACUUUCAUAGCGAAGGAACUCUGGCUGAGAAAGAUUCCAGUUCCAUUUUGUUUUACUUCCAUUCCUAGGAAGUAGUUCAUUCUGCCUAAAUCAGACAUCUCGAACAUUUUCAUCAUUUUCUUCUUGAAAUCAUGCAUCAUAUUUUUGUCUCCUCCAGUUACUAACAAAUCAUCAACAUAGAGUGACAAGAUAAGUUGAGUCUCAGCUUAAUUUUUCUUCACAUGCAGUGUUGGUUCACUGGCACUUCUCUCGAAUUCCAAACUGAGCAAGUAGGAAUCAAUUCGAGCAUACCAGGCUCGAGGGGCCUGUUUCAGGCCGUACAAGGCCUUUUUCAAUCUGUAGACCAUGUGUUCUUUGCCAGUGACUACAAACCCUUGAGGUUGCUCAAUGUAAAUCUCUUCUUCUAGGAAGCCAUUGAGGAAUGCAGACUUCACAUCCAGCUGAUGAAUGGUCCACUGAUUUUGAGCAACCAAAGCAACUAUCAUUCUGACCGUGUCAAGUCUGGCUACUGGUGCAAAGGUUUCCAAGUAGUCCAGACCAUACCUUUGGCUAAAACCUUUGACAACAAGCCUGGCCUUCAGUUUGUUCAAACUGCCAUCUGCAUUUUGUUUUGCUCGAUAGACCCAUUUUACUCCAAUGGUCUUCUUUCCAGCUGGUUUAUCAACCAGCUCCCAUGUUUGAUUCUUUUGAAUCAUAUUGAUUUCAUCAAGCAUAGCUUGUUUCCAGCCUUCAUCUGCCUCAGCCUCUUCAAAACUGCUAGGUUCUGCUGUAGCAACCUGUGCCCUUUCAUAAAUCUCAUCUAGGGGCCUUGUGCCUCUCACAGGUACAUCAGCAACAUCCAACUCAGAACCAAGCUGCUCGAGUUCAGUUUGAUUAGGCACCAAGUCUUCUGAAACUGUUUCAGGCUCAUUUUUCUCUCAAUUCCAGCAAGCCUUUUCAUCAAAGAUAACAUCUCUGCUUACCUGAACUUUGCUUGUCAAGGGAUCCAGAAUCCUGUAGCCCUUCUUGACCGAGCUAUAGCCCACUAGGAUGCCAGGUUGGGAUCUCUUUGACAGCUUGUCCCUCUUUGCUGCUGGUAUUUGUGCAUAGCAUAGGCAACCAAACACCUUCAGAUGUGCCAAUGAAGGUUUGAAGCCAAACCAUGCCUCGAAAGGUGUCUUGGAUGCAAGAGCUUUGGUAGGAAGCCUAUUCUGAAGGUAAACAGCAGUGUUUACUGCCUCAGCCCACAUGGUCUUAGGCAGUUUCUUCUCAAACAGUAAGCAUCUUGCCAUAUCCAUUAGGCUUCUGUUCUUCCUUUCAGAUACCCCAUUCUGCUGAGGUGUGUACACAUUUGUUAGCUGGUGUUUAAUGCCAGCAUCAUUGCAAAUGGGUUGGAACUGAGUUGAAUUGUACUCAGUGCCAUUGUCUGACCUUAUCGAUUUCAGCUUGCAGCCUGUUUCUGUCUCUAUAGCAGUUUUAAACUUCACAAACACUUGAGCUACCUCAGACUUGUGUUUCAAGAAGAAAAUCCAGCAAAACCUUGUAAAAUCAUCAAUGAAGAGGAUGAAAUACUUGUUUUUGCUGAGUGAUUCAGUCCUCAUAGGUCCACAUACAUCAGAGUGCACCAGCUGCAAUCUUUCAGUGGCUCUCCAUGCUAAACUUGUAGGAAAUGGCAGUCUUGCCUGUUUUCCCAUCUGGCACACUUCACACACAUCAUCAUGCUCCAUUGAGCUGGUGAAGUUCUUUGCCAAUCCCUCUUUGGCCAAUCGAGCCAUUGAUCUGAAGUUGGCAUACCCGAGCCUUUGGUACCAAAUCUUGGAAUCAUCAACAGAGGCAGUGUAUGCUGACUUUGAGUUAUUUGGCCAAUGGACCUCAAAGCAUUUAUCAGUCAUUGUGACUGUCAUAAGGCUUGAUCCACUUAGAUCAGCAAUGUGGCACUGUUUGUCCUUGAACACAACAGAAUAACCUUUCUCAAGCAAUUGAGCUAUGCUGAGAAGGUUUCUGUCAAUUUCAGGUACCAGCAAGACAUUUGAGAUAACUUUGUUUCCUGUAGGAGUACAUAUCAGCACCUCUCCUCUUCCUUCAGCCCUUAUGAACUGACCAUUUCCAACCUUGACCUUGGUUUUGCAACUUCUAUCCAAGGUUUUAAAUAAGGAGGUAUCUGGUGACAUGUGGUUAGUACAACCACUGUCCAAUAACCAGCCUUUUGAACUUUUCUUUUCAGCAGCUAAGCAAGAAACAGCAAAGACCUGCUCUUCUUGAUCACUACUGUCCUCAGCCACUCGAGCUUCAACCUUUGGCUGCUGAAAUUGAUUCUGCCUUGGCUUAUUCCUGUUUUUACAGACCCUUUCAACAUGGCCCUUCUUCUUGCAGUGUUGGCACACAGCAUCUGGCCUAAACCAGCAUCUAUCUUCUGGAUGUCUUGACCUCUUGCAAUAUCUGCAGGGCUGGUCAUUGCUCCUUGCAGCAUCAGGCUUAGGCCUACUUUUCCAAGGCUUUUUGCCUCUUUGAGCAUUUACGCUUGAGGCUUCUCUGGCUUUGGCUUGAAAUGCACCUUCUUGGUGAUCUUCAGCUCUGCUAGCUCUCCUUUGUUCCUGAGCAUAAAAGGUGUUAAUUAGCUCAGUCAAAGAGAUGCUAGCAAGAUCUCUUGAGUCCUCUAAGGAGGAUAUCUUUGCCUCAUAUCUCUCAGGCAAAGUGGAGAGGACUUUCUCCACAAUUCUUGCCUCAUCAAAGUGCUCACCAAGGAGCCUUAUGCUGUUAACCACUGCCAUGAUUCUAUCUGCAUACUGCUUCACUAUUUCUUCUUCCUUCAUCUUCAGAUUCUCGAAAUCCCUUCUCAAAUUCAAUAGCUGCUGUUGCCUUGUCCUCUCAGUGCCUUGAAACUCCUCCUUAAGCUUGUCCCAGGCCUGUUUUGGAGUCUCACAGGCCAUAAUUCUGGUGAAGAUGACAUCUGACACACAGUUCUGGAUGCAAGACAUGGCUUUGUGCCUCUUGGUCCUCUCAUCAGCAUGUUGUCUGAUCUGAGCUACUGUGGGAUUAGCCCUCAGUGGUGCUGGCUCAGCAUCUGUGUUGACAACUUCCCACAGAUCAAAAGCCUGCAGGUAAGUCUUCAUCUUUACCAGCCAUAUAUGAAAGCCUUCUCCAUUAAAGACUGGUGGGGCUGCUGGUGAAAAUCCUGAAGAAGCCAUCAGGUUCCUUGACUUUAAGUAACAGGUCCACUAAGACAAGAGCUCUAGAUACCAAUUUGUUGGUGUUAAGAGGCAACAGCAAGCUGGUUUUAGCUUGCUUGGACAGCAAGUGUCGAGCCUUGCUGAAGAAACAAACUCGAAAAGAAACAGAAAUCAAGCUUGCAAGUGGAAAAACAGAAAAAGGAGAGAGUUUGAAUGAAAAACAAACUGAAAGUUUUUCAUUAACAUUAAACAAGGCAUUGAGCCAUUACAUAUACUAGCUAACAUGUAAUACAAACAAGUAAUUACCUAAUCAACUACCUAACUCCACUAAUCUGUCUUGAAACUUACAAAAAUAGCUUCAUCAUAUUGCUAUGCUGAUUUUCAAUCAAUCAACACAAAAGUACAUCAAAACAUUUAUCUACUUAGUUCAACAUGAACUAGAUUACAAAAUAAUUAAAAUUCAACUAAAACACAACAAGUAAUUUGGCAACUUCAAGCUCCAGCUUCUGCACAUCAUGGCUCGACUGCUUGCUGCCAUUUCUUCUUGCAUGGCCACCUUUGCAUGGGAACUAAUCUCAACAUAUUUUGAUUUUCUUUGUAAUUGACUAAGAGGAAUAAAUAAGCAAGCAAAAGGGGAGUUGGUAGGUGUCAUCUAUGGUCGAAACCUUAACCAUGAAGCAAACAUAAAAGGUAAGCAUUUGAUACAUUAUAAUAAUUAUAUGCAAUUUAGGAAAUUUCCUUAUUUGCUCAUUUGUAUCCAUGUGAAGAAUGAUUAAGAUUGAAUAUAAUCUAAUAUAUACCUUUUGAAUUUUAUCCCCAAUUUUUAAAAGAAUAAAUUUAAAGAAUACAAUACGCUCAACAUUUAUGUACUUUUUGUAUAUUUAAAAUUUAAUCCCUAAUUUUUUAUUUUUAAAAAUUUAGUCUCUUUAUUUUUAAAUUUUAGAAAUUUAGGAUCGUUAAAAUUAUUUGACAUAAUUGUUGAAAAUACCUUCCAUGUUUAUGAGUUUUUGUGUUUGAGCCAUUAACCUUCUUUUUUUAUUGACACCCUCAACAUUACAAUUUGUUUAGAAAUCAACCUAAUUUUCACGGGAUACAAGAGUUGAUCGUCAGUCAAACAAAAGGUUAACGAAGUAGCCUAUGUGGCGUGUCAUAUAUGCACGAGAUCAUAGAUGAUGGCAUCUAUAAAAACAAAAUUGUUUAAAAAAAAUUUUUUAUUUUGUUUCAAUAUUCUUUAUUCUUCUCCUCUUUCUCUCUUCCCCUCUAGCUCCUGUCAUCGUCGUGUCCAAACCCUUCCACCGUUGCCUUCCCUCUCACUCCUAACCGUUGUUCUCACCAAAAAUGUUAGAAGAAAUGUUAGAAGAGAUACUAAUAUAUAUAGAAUUUAUCUGAAUUCAUCCCUCAAAGUCAGAAAAAAAAAUACAUCUUCAAUCACCAGCAAUAUCAUACAAUCAUUAAAAUCCAAAACACCAACUAAAAAAAAAACUAGCUUUCAUCCUAUUGACAAAUUUUGAAGAACAUGUAGAAAACUCAAAAUAAACCUUACCAUUAACAAUCCACAAAGAUCAUAAACAAAGCAACACAACAAAGACAUUAAACUGGGGAUAAAAAAAAAAAAAAGGUACUGACUUUAUCCAUGGAAAAAAAGGGCCAACCCAUUUGAGAAAAACAUCAACCAAUAAUCCUAGAAAGGUAAGUAAAAUUCCCAACUUGAUUCAGUACCAAAUAGACCUUCUCGAUUGAGAACAAAAACCUGGCUCCUUUAGCAAAGAAUUAUUCUCUUCCGCUUCACAUUAUUCUAAUAAUCUCUGUCUCAAACUUACCCUUUUCUCAUUAACAUCAUCAUCACCUUCAACUCAUAAUUUUAGCUCCGGCAUCACUUCUCCUCCCUCAUCAUCAUUUUUAUCAUCAUUGAAAGUCAUUGAAUUUUUAGAACAAGAACCCAAAUUUCACCUGAGAAAAUUAGAGAAGGUGAAGCAAUAAAUGGAUAGAUGAAUUGAAAAACAAAGAAGGAUAUCAAAUAUACCGAAAGAAACCAAACCUAAACCAAACAAAGCGAGUUUGAUUUUUCUAGUUUUUUUAAAUUUAAAAGAAAACCAAAACCCUAAAAUGGGUUACAACAGUGAGUCUCUUUUUGCUUUUUCUUUAUUCUUUUUGGUUGUAUAGAAUUUUGGGUGUUUGACGAAAUUGUCUUUUGUAAGGCUAGCAGAGAUGAACUAGACGUUGAUGAUGAUGAUGAGGAGGAGGAUGGAGAUGGAGAAGAUUUUGGGACAUUUAUGGUAAGAUCGAGGUGAGGUGUGAGAGGGAAGGCGACAGUGGUGGGGGUUGUCUAGCCACAUAGGCUACUUUGUUGACAUGUGGUUUGAUUGACUGUCAACUCAUGUUUCUCACUAAAAUUUGGUUAAUUUCUAAAAAAAUCGUAACGUUGAUAAUGUCAAUUCAAAAAAAAAAGAAGGUUAAAAGCCCAAACCCAAAAACCUAUAAAUGUUGAGGGUAUUUUCGACAAUUAUGCCAAAUUCUUUUGUUAAAUUUGUCGGUUUGAUAUUCUAAAUUUCUUUUUUUUUUUAAAAAACCAUACUCCAUAAUCAUAUUACCGAAAAUGGCAUUAUAAUGGACUUGAAGCUAACAAAAAAAUUUAACGAUGUUAACGCUUCUUUAAACUUACGUCAAAAUUUUAAUUAGAAUAAAAUAUUUAGUCAACGUUGAAGCACCAAACUAUAAAAGAAGUAUAAAGGCUAAAUCUCGAAUUUUAACAUAGUAUAGAGACCAAAUUUGAAAUUUAACUAUUUUUAUCCAUGUGAGCAUUUGAUAGGUUAUAAUAAUUAUAUGCAAUUUAGGAAAAUUUCCUUAUUUGCAUUUGUAUCCAUGUGAGGAAGGAUUAAGAUCAAAUAUAAUAUAAUACAUACUUUUUGAAUUUAAUCCCUGAUUUUUAAAAGAUUAAAUUUAAAGGAUAUCACAUUUAUGUACUUUUGUAUAUUUGAAAUUUAAUACUUAAUUUUUAUUUUUAAGAAUUCAAUCUCUCUAUUUUUUUAAAAUUAUAAAUUUUGGUAUGGUUAACACCGUUAAAAUUGUUAAAAUUCUUUGGCAUAAUUGUCGAAAAUACUCUCAAUGUUUAUGGGUUUUUGGGUUGAGCUCUUAAAUUAUUUUUUUUUUGGAUUGACACCCUCAAUGUUACGAUUUUUCAUAAAUCAAUCCAAUUUUAACAGGAAACAUGAGUUAACCGUUAGUCAAAUCGCAAGUCAAUGAAGUAGCCUAUGUGGCUUGCCACAUAAGCAUGAGGUCAUAGAUGAAGUCAUUUAUAAAAAUAAAAUUGUUUAACAAAUUUUUUUUCAUUUUGUUUCAAUCUUCUUUUCUCUUCUUCUCUUUCUCUCUUCCCCUCUAGCUGUUGUCGCCGUUGUGUCCAACCCUAUCGUCGCCUUCCCUCUCACUCCUCACCAACCCAACCCCCACCACCUCUCACUUCCCUCUCACUCCUCACCGUUGAUCUCAUUGGCAUCUCUUCUAACAUUUGUGGUGAGAUCGACAGUGAAGAGUGAGAGGGAAGGCGGCGGCGGUGGGGGUUGGACACAACGGCAACAGUAGCUAGAGGGGAAAAUAUAAAGAGGAGAAGAAAUAAAUUGAAACAAAAUGAAAAAAAAUGUUAAACAAUUUUGUUUAUAGAUGACAUCAUCUAUGAACUCGUGCUUAUGGGGCACGCCACAUAGGCUACUUCGUUGAUCUGUGGUUUGACCGACUGUCAACUCACAUUUUCCGUUAAAAUUGGGCUGACUUAUUAAAAAAUCGUAACGUUAAGGGUGUCAAUCCAAAAAAAAAAAAAGGUUAAUGGCUCAAACCCAAAAACUCAAAAAUAUUGAGGUUUUUUCGACAAUUAUGCCAAAUUCUUUGUUAAAUUUGUUGGUUUGAUAUCCUAAAAUUUUUUUUAAAAAAAAAGUACUUACUCCAUAAUCAUGUCACAGAAAAUGGCAUUAUAAUGGACUUGAAGCUAAUAAGAAAAUAUUAAAGAUGUUAACACUUAUUUAAAUUUACGUAAAAAAUUAAUUAGAAUAAAAUAUUUAGACUAAAUAAUGACAUUAUAAACAUUGAAGCACCAAAUUAUAAAAAAGUAUAAAGUCCAAAUCUCAAAUUUUAACAUAGUACAAAGACCAAAACUGAAAUUUAAAUAAUCAUACAAUUACUUUCUUUUUUGUUGCAUAUCAUUUCCAAAUACAUAAAACGAUCCAUAUUCAACUAUAACAUAUUGUACACCAAAAAAUAAUUUUGAAAUCAAACAAUUGAAGAAAAAGAGUUAGCUGGAUGCUACAGAACAGUAGUCAAUGUCUGUCAGUUUGACUUUGGCUUGCGCUGCAUGAUUCUAGCUUGUUAUGAAUGCUUAAACUAUGGGUCACUUUCAUAAGACUUUUUCUCUAAUUCCAUGUCCAUUGUAAUUGCUGAAAUUCAUCUUCAUUUUUAGCUACUUGUUAGUGUAUAAAUUGUAGAAAAAUGUCUUCGUUUAAGUUCGAAUUGUUGUAAACUGUCCCUUAAAAAUCUUUAAUACGCAUUGAAGAAAUGAAAACUCGAAUGAAAUACAUGCAUGUUAUCGUGUUUGUUGUGAGUAUGAUCAUUGCAGGGUUCAAUGGAGUCGAUGCAAUGAGUAAAUAUUACAGUCACUGCGGGAAACAUGACAUCGAAAAGGAGGCUCAAAAUCUGUUCCCAUGUUAUGAGAUUAGUUAACGGGAAACAUGAGUUAACCGUUAGUCAAAUCGCAAGUUUCUUAUUUAAAUAAGAAACAUGUCCUAAACAUGGUAUAUCACCACUCAAUAAGAAACCGAUUGGAAGUAUGACAGAGGAUGUUGUGCAAAGUCGGAACAUGUCCUAAGCUGUAUGUUGUACAAACUCUGAACCUGUCAAUACCAAGUCCGGCCAUAGUGUGGGCAAUUGGUUCCAAAGAGCUAUAUCACCACUCAACAAUUGCUUUUAAAUAAGAAACAAAAAAAUUGAUUAGAUUACAGAUAAAUUACUUAAUAGUUUCAAGUGAAGAAUGUAUAUGCGUACUUGGAGUCGUGGCCGGGUUAGAAUAGGUUGUGGAUGGGUGCAAGGCUUCCUUGCAUUGUAUGGGGGCACCGGCAUGUCAUGAGCGUCUUGCGCCCAAAUUCCAUGUAUUUUGAAUUCAGUUGGGAUUGGGAGUUUACAGUUGAAAGUAGAGCUGCAAACAGAGGAGGCCACUGCAGUGCCAACUUAUAGAAGUCUACCACUGGAAUUACUGGCGGCUGGGGUACUGCAAAUGCUACCCAUAAUGAAAAAUGAUACAAUGCAUUUUUACAAAUUUACAAAUCAAAAGAGAACUACUCCAUAUAUAGAUCUUACAUGCAUAGAUGGUCGGGCUGAGAUUGGAUGAUUGUGCUUUGCAAGCAGCUGGUUUAUGAUCUCCUUUAUAAGCUUGGCACACAUAUUUCACGAAAUUUUCAAAGUCCUGCAACCAUGAAAUAAAUGUUGAAGUUACUUGUCACAAAAUGUUACUUCACAGUCACACCAAGAGGGAGAAAUAAACAAACUCACUUGUCUGAGUGGCUGAUUAUUCACCACCACCCAUGGCACAUAUUCUUGAGGUGGCUUCAGAUGUGCAGUCUCGUUAGCAUAUUGCAGCAGAAGCUGCAUUUUAUUAACUUGGAAAUUCAAUGUUAGAAAAAGCUAAGGAGAAGUGUUAAUUAAAUACUAAUACAUGCAGCCAACCUUAUAUCCAAAUCCAGUAGUAUAGCAUUGGUUGAUUAUCACCUCAUUCAAUCUCAGCUUUUCACUGCAAUUUUUCCACAGUGCUUCAACGGGCCACCCCUUUAAGCUUUGUUGCUCUGUGCAGCCAAUGAAUUCCAAGUGUUCUUUCUGCUACAAAGUAGAGUAAGUAAACACGAGUUGGAGACGAGUACAAAUACUUAUGGCUAAUAGAAGUUACCACAUCAGGCCAGAAAUGGAUGACACAACUAUGUAUAGUGUUUAAGUGGCAUUCUUCUUCUCCAUGCUGGACAUUGUUGCAUAAACUAUAAUUAGUUACAGUAGAAGAAAGAAAUUGAACUUCAUUAGUUAAUAAUGAAAAUAUAUUAAAAUGAAGAAUGGAGUUGUAAACCUGGCAAUGGAUUUCAGCAUUGCUCCAAGGGACCAAUCUUAGAUUGAUAAUGGUAUGGAGGUCAGUGUGGAAGACCUUGACGAGGUCGUUGGAGAUAAAGGAGGCACAACGUGGACAUAAACUUGUUUCAUAGUACAGUGACACAGUAACCCUGUCAUUAACAUUAUCUAAAGAGGAAUGGGAGGGAGAAAUAAGCCAAAAUAUUGCAAGAGCAGACAGAAUAUAGAAGAUCAGUGGUUGAAGAUAAGCCAUUGUUUUAGUGGUAGCUUCUGCACAAUGCUGAACCUCCAUUAUGCAAUGUUUUUUAUAGUUGAGAAAGGGGAUGAUGGCUAUUGUUUUCUAUCACUUUCAGAAACCAUGUGACGUUAUCACUUUCAGAAACCACUUUAAAAAAUUAUUUACAUGAAGAUUGUUUAUUUAUGUAUAUGGUUCUUGCUUUUUCUAAUUUUACUUUGGAAAUUACAAAAAUAAUCAACAUUGUAGUUAUAUCUAAUACUAGUUUCAAUCACAUGUAAUAAGUUCCACGUUAAUAAAAUAAGUCCUUAAUUUUUCUUAACAUGGCUUUCGAUGUGUCUGUUUCAAUAUGUAUAAAUAUGGGGAAUCAACUUCACAAGUAAUUGCUUAUAAUGGUUUAUUGCUUAUAACAAUUGAUAUAUAUAUGUAUAUAUAUGAACUUAACCAAACAUCCUCAAAGUUGUUGGAAUUUUGGUUUCUUUAAAAUUUUAGUAGGGUUUAAAACUUGAUUAAGAGUAUGGUAAUUAAUGGUUAGAGGAGAAAAUGAAUUGAUUUGUUUUUAUAAGUACUGUUAGUCUUUCACAUGAAAUAGGGUAAGAAUCUCAAUUUAACAAAAAUGGAUUUGCUUUUAUCAAAGUCUCAAGAUUAUAAGGUAGCAUUGGUUGGCUGGUAUUUUCAUGCGUAAAAAUAUAUUCAUUUUUGUUAAAUUGUGAUUUUUCCUACACUUGUAUGUGAUUCACACUAGCAGGUAAAUUCUUUCGUUUGUUGAGUAAAUUAAAUUAUCAAAGGUGUUCAAAGUCAAAUAUUAACUUAAAUGUUGCAAUAAUUAAUGCAAAAGGGAGAUUAUGAGUGAUUGUUGGAGGUCAUACCAUAGGUAGAAAGGGAGGAAACAGUGGGACAACCAACAAAGCCAAGACUUGAUCCAUUUAUACUCAGCCAUUAAGAUGUAAUGUAGUAGUUUAUACUUCUGAUUUUGGUUUCUCAAGAAUUAGAUUUAUCCAUAAUCGAAUUGGAUUGAGAUUAUCUCAAGUUUUCCUAACGUAACCAAUGCCACAUUUAUUAAAAGUAUAUAAUCAUGUUUUAAAGUAGAAAAAAAUGAUUUUAUUCUUUGCAUCUUUGUUUUGAUUUGUAAGAAACUUGCAAGUAUAACUAUGCCAUUUUGGAAGGACAAUCAGAGUGCUUAUGGAGCAAAUCUUAACAAUAAAGCAAAGAAGCAUUUAAUACAUUAAUUUUAUUCUUGUAGUGACAGCGAUGUUUAAUUUUUAAGAGUUAUUAAAACUCUUUAUUUGCAACCCAAUGGUUAUCUGAAAUCGAAUUAAAUUUCUUUUUAUUUAAUAUACAAUUAAUUUUAAUUUUUUAUUAUAAAAAUAAAUAUUAUUUGUUUAAAAUAGUAUAAAUAACUUAAAAAUUCUUGUAAAAUCAUUAUUAUUAUUUUUUUGCAAAUAUUUAUUAAAAGGGCUUUCAAAUUUGUCAAAUAAUAUUAAAAAAAAGCAUAAAACAAAGUCAAUUUUGUUAAAAUAAGUCUAAAAAUCUAAAAUAAAACAUUAUUAUGAAAAAAUUAACAACUCUUCAUAAAUUCUAUUUAUGCCCCCAAAAAUGAUACAAAUUUGAUUUAUUCUCUAAAAAUUUAUAUAGAUAUAAGUUAUUAAAAUUGUGAAAUUGCAUCUUUACUAUCAUAAAAAUAUAUAAUUUUAUCCCCAAAAUAAAACUUUCCUAGCUUCACCCCUGAUCGACAAUGCUAAUAUAAGUUUGUUACAAAAGAUUGGCAUUAUAGUGGAAUUGGAGCUAACAAAAAAAAAAAUAACAAUGUUAAUGUUUCUUUAAAUUUAGGUCAGAAUUUUUAUUAGAAUAAAAUAUUAAGGGUAAAUUACACAUAAAAGUCCUAUUUUUUUAAAAUUUACCGAAAUGGGCCCGGUAUUUUAUUAUUUACCGGAAUGGGCCAUUUUCCCCGAAAUCGCCUCCACGUCAGCGCGAUGUCAGGGGAUGUGUCAGCAAAUCGCGUCCACAUCAGCGCGAUUACUUACGUGGCAACAAAUCGCGUCCACGUAAGCGCGAUUUGCUGACGUGGAAGCAAUAAUUCAUGAACAGUUUAUGUUUUUUAGCUUGGAAAACUUUGAAAGGCCAUAACUUUUGACUCGGUUAUCCGAUUGAGACGAUUCAUUAAAAUACAUUAACAUUACCUAAAGAGGAAUGGGAGGGAGAAAUAAGCCAAAAUAUUGCAAGAGCAGACAGAAUAUAGAAGAUCAGUGGUUGAAGAUAAGCCAUUGUUUUAGUGGUAGCUUCUGCACAAUGCUGAACCUCCAUUAUGCAAUGUUUUUUAUAGUUGAGAAAGGGGAUGAUGGCUAUUGUUUUCUAUCACUUUCAGAAACCAUGUGACGUUAUCACUUUCAGAAACCACUUUAAAAAAUUAUUUACAUGAAGAUUGUUUAUUUAUGUAUAUGGUUCUUGCUUUUUCUAAUUUUACUUUGGAAAUUACAAAAAUAAUCAACAUUGUAGUUAUAUCUAAUACUAGUUUCAAUCACAUGUAAUAAGUUCCACGUUAAUAAAAUAAGUCCUUAAUUUUUCUUAACAUGGCUUUCGAUGUGUCUGUUUCAAUCUUUAUAAAUAUGGCGAAUCAACUUCACAAGUAAUUACUUAUAACAAUUGAUAUAUAUGUUUAUAUAUGAACUUAACCAAACAUCGUCAAAGUUGUUGGAAUUUUGGUUUCUUUAAAAUUUUAGUAGGGUUUAAAUCUUGAUUAAGAGUAUGGUAAUUAAUGGUUAGAGGAGAAAAUGAAAUGAUUUGUUUUUAUAAGUACUGUUAGUCUUUCACAUGAAAUAGUGUAAGAAUCUCAAUUUAACAAAAAUGGAUUUGCUUUUAUCAAAGUCUCAAGAUUAUAAGGUAGCAUUGGUUGGCUGGUAUUUUCAUGCGUAAAAAUAUAUUCAUUUUUGUUAAAUUGUGAUUUUUCCUACACUUUUAUGUGACUCACGCUAGCAGGUAAAUUCUUUCGUUUGUUGAGUAAAUUAAAUUAUCAAAGGUGUUCAAAGUCAAAUAUUAACUUAGAUGUUGCAAUAAUCAAUGCAAAACAGAGAUUAUGAGUGAUUGUCGGAGAUCAUACCAUAGGUAGAAAGGGAGGAAACAGUGGGACAACCAACAAAGCCAAGACUUGAUCCAUUUAUCAAAUCCUUGCUAUCUCAACUCAGCCAUUAAGAUGUCAUGUAGUAGUUUAUACUUCUGAGUUUGGUUUCUCAAGAAUUAAAUUUAUUAUCAAAAUUAGAUUUAUCCAUAAUCGAAUUGGAUUGAGAUUAUCUAACGUAACCAAUGCCACAUUUAUUAAAAGUAUAUAAUCAUGUUUUAAAGUAGAAAAAAAUGAUUUUACAAAACACACAAGUUUUUAUAAGAGAAGAUUAGAAAGGAACAUAGCCUUUUGAAGUUGUAAUUUGUGAUGGGAAAGAAACGAUAAAACUUUGAUUUAAUUCUCUAAAAAUUAUAAAGAUAUAAGUUCCUGAAAUAGUAAAAUUGCAUUUUAACUAUCGUAAAAUUAUACAAUUUAAUCUCUCCAAAAUGAAAUUUUCCUAACUUCAUCCCUAAUUGACAAUACUAAUUUAAAUUUACUCCUAAGUCGUAUUUUAGAUCCGUCACUAUGCACACAAAAUUUUCAUCACCCAAGCUUCGGGUAGUUGAAAGCUCCUCCUUUGCAUCUUUGUUUUGAUUUGUAAGACACUUGCAAGUAUAACUAUGCCAUUUUGGAAGGACAAAACCUUAACAAUAAAGCAAAGAAGCAUUUAAUACAUUAAUUUUAUUCUUUUGGUUACAGCAAUGUUUAAUUUUUAAGAGUUAUUAAAAGUCUUUAUUUGCAACCCAAUGGUUAUCUGAAAUCGAAUUAAAUUUCUUUUUAUUUCAUAUAUAAUUAAUUUUAAUUUUUUAUUAUAGAAAUAAAUAUUAUUUGUUUAAAAUGGUAUAAAUAACGUAAAAAUUCUUGUAAAAUCAUUAAUUUUUUUGCAAAUAUUUAUUAAAAGGGCUUUCAAAUUUGUCAAAUAAUAUUAAAAAAAAGCAUAAAACAAAGUCAAUUUUGUUAAAAUAAGUCUAAAAAAUAUAAAAUAAAAAAUUAAUAUGAAAAAAUUAACAACUCUUCAUAAAUUCUAUUUAUGCUUAAAUAAGUCUAUUAGAAAGGGCAUGCCGUUUUAGCAAUGAAAAUAUAUUUUUAAAUAAUUUCAGAGUUUUUCUUCAAUUAUCUUAAAUUUUUACCCAUAUAUCAUAGGGGUUAUUAAGCUUUAUUGAAAACAAAUAUUUAGAUGGAUCUUAUAAACAUCCAUCUGUGACACUCAUAUACUUGUAUGGAUAUAAUUUUUUUUUUAAAUAUUCAUAUCAAUUAUUAAUUAUUUUUUAUAUCCUAUAAUUACUUCCUAAUUCAAUCUUAAUAUUCAAAGCAAUGGGUAUGAGGAGAAGCUUCGAGUUGAAAUUAAUACAAAAAAAGUAAAAGCAUAUACAGAAAAAAAAAUUCUAUUUAUGAAAAAUUUAACAUGUGGGUUGACUCAAUAGCUUUCAAAAAGCCAAACAAAAUUAAACUCUUGGUGGGAAAAAAGGGGGAAAAUAGAAAAUUGGAAGAAUAAAACCCCAAACUUUUAAAAGUAAAUACUUUUUUGGGAGGGAAAAGAUUUGAUUUUUUUUUUGUUCAAUUGCUAGAAUCUGGUUAGUGAGUUUCCCUUUUCUCUGUUUCCAAACUUUCAAUUAUUUAUCUAUUUAUGUAAGAAGGUUGCAGUUUAUAAGAAGUUAAUCCCAAAGCUUUGAUGGACAAAAGAAAACAUGUGUGAAACUAUCAAAGAUUCCAUUGACAGUAAACAAAAAUGGAUUUGCUUUCACGUAUCAACUUACCUAGCUACCAUAAUAUUAAUGCAAAUUCCUUUCUCAAACAAUGCUUUGAGUCUCAAAAUUAUAAUGUAGAAUUGGUUAGCUGGUAUCUUCAUGCAUCAAGAUAUCCUUAUUGGCAGGUUUAUCCAUGUGAAGAAGGAUUACGAUAAAAUAUUCUUAUUUGCAGGGCUAACCACUACCAAAUUUACUGGCAAAAAUAAAGUAGAUUAGUUUUUCAAGAAAAUCGGUCAAUUUUAAUUUUUAUGCAAAUCAUUGGACACCAUCAAUAAAAAUUAAUAAUUAUUUAAAGAGAUAUUGUCAUAUUUAUGAAAAGGGUUUUCAAAUUUAUCAAAUAAUAUUAAAAAAAAUGCACAAAACAAAGUUAAUUUUGUCAAAAUAAGUCUAAAAAUUCAAAACCAAAAAUUAAUAUGAAAAAAUCGAGAACCGAACUAUGAUGGACAGUUUAAAAACUCUAAAACCCCCGACUGUAUAGUAAUACUCUAUUUAUUUAUAGAGAGAAGAAGACGCACCUACGUAUUACUAAAAUAUUUGAAUUCAACAUUAUAAUCAUGUCACAAAAAAUAAAAUUAUAAUGGACUUGAAUUUAACAAAAAAUUUAACGAAGCUAACGCUCCUAUAAAUUUAUGUCAGAAUUUUAAUUAGAAUAAAAUAUUUAAACUAACUAAUGACAUUAUAAACGUUGAAGCACCAAACUAUAUAAAAAAGAUCAAAUAUAAAGUUUAAAUCUCAAAUUUUAACAUAGUAUAGAGACUAAAAUUGAAAUUUAUCUAUUAAUGUAUAAAGGUUGCACUUUACAAGCACUUAAGUGUUUGAUGAAAAGGAUAUAAAUUAAUUAUAUAAUAUAAACUACCAUGCCACAAUAAUUAUAUAAUAUACAAAUUCAUUAUACCCAUGCAGACUUCAUUUAUGCAUACAACGUAAUCUUAAAACUUAAAGUUGAAUAUAAUUAUUGUAACUUAACGUGGAUUGAAUGCAAAACUUAGGGUGGGUUUGGAUGGGCGAUUGGGUGCGGUGCGGUGCGUUUAGCCUACAUUUUGUCUCACGCUACAGUGUUGCUACAGUAUUUAAUCUCACCGCCACCGUUGUUUUUACAUUAACCGCAGGUAAACGCACUGCCCAUCCAAACUCACCCUAAGUAUAUCUUUAUAUUUAUUAGUGUUCAUCUAUUGCUUUCAAUAAACCACAUGUACAUAUUGAUUAUGACAUUCUAAAAUAAACACAACAUUUUAACAUAACUCUUAUAAUACAUUCUUUCAACUCUAACAUAUCAUAUCAUAUCAUUACAUUAAUUACACAUAAAAUAUUCUUUUACACAUAAUCUGCCAAAAUAUUAUUUGUUGUUAUCAUCAUACCGUAAAAUGAACCGGACUACAAAUUCAAUGCAUUUAGGGAAUAUUAUUUGAGAAAUGUCUUAGUUAUGCUGAAUAUUGCAUUCAAGAAAUGGAAACUCAAGUGAAGUAGAUGUGGGUUAUGGUGUUUAUUGUGAGUAUUAAGCAUUGCAGGGUUCUAUGGAACUCAAUAGCUUUCAAAAAGUCGAACAAAAUUAAAUUGUUAGUGGGGAUUGAAACUCAAUCGAUAAAAAAAGAAAAAGAAGAGAAAAUUGAAAAUUGAAAAUUGAAAAUUGGAAGAAUAAACAAUUAAUGUAAAUAGAAAUCUGAUUGGUGAGUUUUCAUUUUUGUUUUAUGAAAUUUCUCUUUUCUUUGUUUCCAAUCUUUCAAUUGUUUAUCUAUUUAUGUAUGAAGGUUGCAGUUUAUAAGAUCUCAAAUGUUUGAUAAAAAGAAUUUAAAUUAAUCCCAAAGCUUUAAUGUGCAAAAGAAAACAUGCCAAAAUUGUCAAAGAUUCCAUUGACAACAAACAAAAAUGGAUUUGCUUUCACAUAUCAACUUACCCACCAUAAUAUUAAUGCAAAUUCCUUUAUCAAAACAAUGCUUUGAGUCUCCAAAUUAUAAUGUAAAAUUGGUUAGCUGGUGUUUUCAAGCAUCAAAAUAUAUCUAUUUUUGUUGUGAUUCACACCAGCUGACAGAAAGAUUAGCUUAGCAAGAUUCCUUGCUUUGUUGAGUAAAUUGAAAUUAUUGAAGGUGUUCAAGGUCAAAUAUUAACCUAAAUGUUACAAUAUUUAACGCAAAAGGAAUACCAUAAGUGAUUGUUGCAUAUCAUACCAUAGAUAAAAAGGAAUAAAACGGUGGGACAACCAACAAAGUCAAGACUUGAUUCAUUUAUCAAAUCCUUGCUAUCUCAGCUCAGCCAUCAAAAUGUAACGUAGUAGUUUAUACUUGUGAGUUUGGUUUCUCAAGAAUUGAAUUUAUUAUCAAAAUUCAACAUUUCCAAUAAUUAUCAAAAUACCGGUGAGCUCCAGUUUCCGAGCGUUGCUGCGCUAUAAUAGAGAAAAAGCUUAGCAAUCCAGACUGUCUCUGUGCUAUUUUGCAAACUCGUAUGCUGGAGUGAGAAAUGAAAUCCAAGUGUAGCCAGUUUUCUCAAUUCAUAUUUGAUCUUUAAGAUAUCAUCCCUAUUAUUUAGGGAUGGCAAAACUCAAACCAUCAUUCAGAAUAGAGAGGAUUUUCUUUUGAAAGUGAAUGCAGAUUGAAUUUUAUAGUAGUUAAAGCAAUUAACACACAAGCUUGUAACACAAGGUAACUUGAAAAAAGUACCAUAAUUUCACUCACUCGAACGAAAUGGGAUCAUGGCAACAUGGAUUUGUGGCUGAUUCGAUGCUCGUGUUGUGUUGUGGUGUUCAUCGGAUCUUCAUCUGUUUAAGAAUCUUAACCAUCAGGUGAGACCUGUUUUGGAUUAAGUUAUAAAAAUUAUGCCACUUACAGCAAUUAUUUUAAUUAGUUAAUGACAACCUUAAACAUCAAAUCCUCUUCGACUUGCAAUUUUUUUCCGCAGAAAACAAUAUCAACAUCUAAGCAAUCUUAUAGAUAUCUAACCAACAAAAACCAAAUAUAAACUGAACAAUUCUCCAAAUACAGAAACCAGGAAAUAGUUAACAUCUCAAACAUAUAACCCAAACAAUAACAGCAAUAUUAAGAAGCUCACAACAAAAAAUUCCUAUUACAUCUUACACAUAUAUGUUCUAGCUCCGCAUCCCUCUUCAUAUUCAGUAUCCAUUUCAUGCCUUCUUCAUAUUUAGUAUUCAUUUGAUGCAUCUCUCGCUGGUUGACGUAUUACAUGUUUCUCAAUAUUCUCUUGUAUUCCAUUGAUACGAACCAGGCUCUCUAAAUAUGCAUGAAGGGAGAUGGUGAACCGAAAAUGAUCUAGAUAAGUAUUAAUCUGAAGCUCCUUAAGCUCUUGGGUGGAGGCGUCAAAUAGGAGUACUUCAUCAUUUGUGUCUCUAAGAAACAAGUCACCAUUUUUCCCAAAUCCCAAUGGGUGUACAACUCCAGAAAUGGAUUUAAUAUUGAAUUGUUUAGUCCACACUCCUUCACUUGUAACCCAUAAAUCAAAAGACGUGUCAAUUCCUUCCGUUGGGUAAACAAUAGCACCAAGUGAUCCAUUAAACACCAAUAGAUUAACAUAGUAUUCUGGGAAAGACCCAACGAAUUCUGGGAUAGGUAAAAUUGAGAACUUCUCAUUCCCCAUGUCAAAUGAAAGAAUUAGUCCUCUAAAAUCAAGAUAUGCCCGUCUCUGUUUUCAUAUAGCAAAUUCCGUCUACAUAAUUAUUUCCCAAAGUUGUUCCAGUUGGUUUAUAAUCAGGACAUGGAAUUUCCUUCCAGGAAUUACUUCUAAGAGAAUACAACUCAACUUGGUACAUAAAAUGAGAAUGUGGAUAUUGUUCUUCACUAUUAACAAAAGUAAGAGUAACAAAUCGUAUGACUUUGUAGUCAUCAGUUUUAGAAUCAAACCCAAAAGAAGCGUGGUUAAAUUCAACGUGAUCUAAAGUAAGGUAGGUUUCUUCGAAUGGGGAAAAAUAUGGAGGGCGUUGGAUUGAAGAUGGUGGAAGGAUUUUAAACUCUCUGGUUGAUGGGUUCCAAAUGGCAGCCUUAUCCUUUGAAGGAUCAAGUAAACACAACAAUCCAUGACAAGCACCAUAAACAGAGGGGCGAUCAUUCUUAAAAAAGGGCAAGUGAAUGUUUUGUUUUACUAUAUAAUUUUGAUAUUUUUCAUUUGAAAGUUGAGAGAAAUAACGUUGGAAGGUGUUACCAUCACAGCGACUAAGCAGUAGAUUAAGGUUGUUGUUUUCAAGGUUGUUGUGAUAAUUAUUGGAAAUGAAAUGAGGAGUUUGAAAAGAAGAACACCAAUACUUACAAACACAGUUGAAGCGAGUAAGGGAUUUAACUGGCAGCUUUGACAGAAUUUCCAUAACCAAAGCUUCUGGCAAUUCAAACCUUGGCCUCUGCAUCUUGCUAUUUUGAUUUUCUUUGUAAUUGGGUAAGAGGAAUGAAUAAAAUGGGAGUUGGUAGGUGUCAUCUAUGGUCCAAACCUUAACCAGGAAGCAAAGAAGCAUAAAAGGUAAGCAUUUGAUAGGUUAUAAUAAUUAUAUGGAAUUUAGGAAAAUUUACUUAUUUGCAUUUGUAUCCAUGUGAGGAAGGAUUAAGAUCAAAUAUAAUAUAAUACGUACUUUUUGAAUUUAAUCCCCAAUUUUUAAAAGAAUAAAUUUAAAGGAUAUCACAUUUAUUUACUUUUUGUAUAUUUGAAAUUUAAUACUUAAUUUUUAUUUUAAAGAAUUCAAUCUCUCUAUUUUUUAAAAGCCAAAAACAGUGAUGUAGUUUUUUUUUUCACACGGCAAUCAAAAAAAAAAAUUUAAAGGUAGUUUUUUUUUCUCGUUUCUGCUCUUUUUCUUUUUUUCGUCUGUUCUAUUUUACUUGCGUUUUUUUUUUUGAGUUUUUUCUUUUCUUCUUUCGACAUACAUAUAUCUACAUUUUUUUAAAAAAAAGAACAGUUUAUAUAUAUACAUACACAAAAAAAUAAAAAUAAAAAAACUCACCUUUGAACUUUCCGGACUCGGCUACGUCGGCCGGUGCGGCGGAGACAAGGCGGCCCUUUGGCCGGAAUCUGGAUUUCAUCCAGAGAAAAGAGACCCCCUUUUCCCUUUUUUUGGUUUCUUUACAGACUGCCGGGAAUGAUUUCUUUUCCUCAAAAGUUGUCUUUUAUAGCCCCCCCCCCAACACCCCAGCAAAACGAUGUCGUUUUGGUUGGCGUACUUGAGCAAGAAACGACGUCGUUUUGGCCUUAGGAUCCGCUUGUGACCCGACCCGCAAAGAGGAUCCGCGUGUCACCAUUUAGGGGGAUAUCUUCACAAUUGGUGCCUCCACUUUUGUCUCGCUUUCAAUGUAGUUUUUUCAUAUAUUUUUAAUUUUGGCUACAUAAUUUUUCGUCUGUUUUAAUUUGGUCCCCAGACCAUGCACACGCGCCUCACUAGAACGAUGCCGUUUGGUCAGUUAGGGAGUAUUUCCGUUUUUGCUCCUCUUCCUUUCACGCGUGUUGUGAUUUAGUCCUUUUUGUGCUUUUUAUUGUUAAUUUCGACCCUAAAACCUUGUUUAUUUUCAAUUUAAUCCUUAAUCUGCUAUUUUAGUUAUUUUUCCUGUUAAAUUAAUUAUUUUAACAUUAUUAAAACUAUUAUAUUGCAUAAUUAUUAUUUAUUAUUAAUAUUAUUAUCCUUAUCUCGUUUGUACCUUUUUAUUCUAAAAUUUUGUUAUAUAUAUAUAUACAUAUCCGCAUAUGCUUUUCUAAUAUAUAUAUGUAUAUUUUUAAGGUUAUUAUAAAUAUACUUUUAUAUUUCAUUUUUUAUACUUAUAUCUAUAUCCACGUAUUUUAAUUUAUAUACAUAUAGAUUUUAUAUAUACUUAUUAUAAUUUUUUUAUUGUCAUAAAUACAUACACAUGUACACAUACUUUUAUAUGUUCUUCUAUAUUCCAUAAUUCUUAUAUACAUCCAUAUACAUAUGUAUAUUUUAAUCUACAUACAUAUAUGUAUAUAUACACAUACGACAUAUAUUUCUAUUUUAUAAUUUUAAAAUAAAUAUAUAUAUAUCUAUAUAUUCUUCUUAUUUUUAUAUACACAUGCAUAUAUUUUAUAUUUCCUUUAUUGUUUCGUUGUUUCGCGUAAUGUCAACCUUUUUAUGCCUAUUUUAUUUUAAAAGCAUUUUAAUUCGACUCUUUUAUUUACUAUUUAUCUUACAUUAAUUAAUUUGUCUCUGUAUUUAUUUUGCUACGUACAAAAUCGUGCUACAUUUUACCCGAUUCAUUAAAAAUGAUGUUUUAAACAAGCAAUAUUCAUAUUUUGAAAUUCGAAAAGUCGUUCCCUAACUUACGGGGUUUCGACUUUCUAAAAAAAAUCCAAAUACCGAACAUUUUUAAGCAUAAAUUUUAAAUAAUCUCAAGAAUUACUAAAAGAUCGUGUUCUAACUUAGGGAAUAUGAUUUUUUUCUAAAACCGAUAUAGUCAAACAUCUUUUAAAAUAAAUUUUUCGGCGUUUAUUUGUGCAUCAAGAAUUUAAGACAUUGUGUCCUAAUUCACGGGACGCGAUUCAUUUUCUCGAUUAACGUAAAAUAUGUCCAUUUGUCAACUUUUUAAUAUUUUAACAAGGGAUCGUAUUUUAAAUCUCUUUAAAGUUUUCAAUUUUUGACGAGACACUAAUUAAUCAACUAAGUACCAAUUUUGGGCGCGGGGGUGCUAAUUAGAGGUGAUCAUGGGUUGGGCAGUCCGGCCCGGCCCGAUGGCCCACCCAAAAUAUGAGAGGGUUUGGGUAAAAAUAUAGGCCCGAAAUAUGGGUUUGGGCAAAAAAUGAGGCCCGUUGGCAAAACUUUUUUGGUCCAGGCCUGGCCCGAAUAUAUAAUAAAUAUAUAUUUUUAUUUUUAAAAUACAUUUUCCAUUUCCCCAUUUCCCCAUUUCCCAUUAGACAUUUAGUAUUUAUAUAAUAAAUAUAUAUUUUUUAUUUUUUAAUUUUAAAGUAUUUUUAAAAUACUUCUUUUAUUUUUUAUUUUUAAGAUACAAUUUUGUUGUUUAUUAAAAAAAGGGUCGGGCUCGGGCUUAGGAUUUUUUCUCGGGCCAGGCUUGGACAAAAUUUCAGGCCCAUAUUUUGGGCUAGGCCGGGCCCAGGCCUAGGACGCGGGCCAAAAAAAAAUUUAGGCCUGGCCCAGCCCAUGAUCACCUUUAGUGCUAAUCCUUCCUUGUACGUAACCGACGCCCGAACUCGUGCUUAUGUGGCACGGCACAUAGGCUACUUUGUUGACCUAUGGUUUGACCGACGAUCAACUCACAUUUUCUGUUAAAAUUGGGCUAAUUUAUUAAAAAAUUGUACCGUUAACGGUGUCAAUCCAAAAAAAAAAAGGUUAAUGGCUCAAACCCAAAAACUCAAAAAAUUGAGUGUUUUUUCGACAAUUAUGCGAAAUUCUUUGUUAAAUUUGUUGGUUUGAUAUUCUUUCAAAAGUACAUUAUAAUGCCUUUUUUUUUAACCCAAACCCAAACUUUUGAAAUCAAAUACUAUUUUGAGAGGGAAAAUAUUUGAUUUUUUUUUUUGUUCAAUUGCUUGAAUCUGGUUGGAUAGUUUCUAUUUUCGUUUUAUUAAAUUUCCUUUUUCUCUGUUUGAAGGCGACUUUAAAGAAAAGAGUAACAUGCGAAGGAAUUGCAUUGGACUUUGCAAAGAUCAUAAAACACACAUUAAAAAUAUGUAUUAUUAGUUCUGUUGGACUUAAAGAUUUUGGGUUGUAACACUAGUAGAAAUUAUAUAAAGAAAGAUAUUGAAUGUUAUGGGAUUGGGUUUGGGUUAUUUUAAAUCUAUAUUCAGAUUAAUGUUAUUUUAAAAUCGAAUAAUUUUGAGUUUAAAUCAUUCAAAGUUGUUGAUCGGAUUUUAUAAAGAUAAAAAAACAUAUUGAAAAUAUGUAAUAUUAAUUGGAUUAUUUUAAACUAUGACAUAAAUACUUGAGUCUCAAAAUAAACACUAGCUCAAUAAAACGCAUAUGAUAAUUUAGAGUACUGUAAUAAAAUACAUAUUGAUAAUUCAGAUAUUACAUUAAACAUUUUUAAACAUACAUGAGACAAUUGUGGUAAAGCUGGCUAUGGUAAUUUUAUGGUAUCGGAUCCAUUACUGCAUAGGCCGUAAAAUAAGUUGGAACAAUUUUGGGGAGUUCCAAAGGUAUGGGAUGGCCCCGGUCUUCCAUAACAAAUAAACAUCUCCCCGAGUAGUAGAACUCUAGUUCUUCUGUGUUUACUGCAUGAAAUUUGUGGAGAUGCUCCUAUAAGUCGGAAAACUAUGUCCGCAACUUGUCGGACCGUAUAGGUGGAUCUAGGUGUGAGUCCCAUAGCUAAAUCCCAAAAUUCAUUAAAACAAAUAAGAGACAAUAAAGUAUAUUAAACACAAAUCUGAAUGUGAAGAAAAAAUAAAAACAAUUUAUUCGAUAUACCCGGAUCUAAAUUUGUCCUAAGUUGUAUGGCCGAUUGGAAGUAUGCCAGAGGAUAUGGUGCAAAGUCGGAACAUGUGCCAUGUUUUGUCCAUUCGUUGUGCAAAAAGCUAAUGUCUAACUUUCCCAAUAUCAAGUUUGGCCAUAGUCGGGGCAAGUCUACCCAAAGAACUGGAUCACUUUUCAGCAAACUCUUUGAAAUUAAAAACAAAAAUCUGGUUAGAUGACAGAUAAUUUACUUAAUAGUUUUAGGCGAAGAAUGUACGUAUGCGUACUUCGAGUUUCUUCUUAUCUAGAUUAGGAUUCGGAUUGUUGCAAAGAUUACUUGGACCAUACUGGGUCACCGGCUUGUCAUUAGCAUCUUGUGCCCAAAUUCCAUGUAUUGUAAAUUCUGUUGGGAUAGGGGUUUUACAUCUCGAAGUAGAGCUGCAAACUGAUGGAGGCCAUUGAAGUGCCAGCUUGUAGAAGUGCGGAAUUGCUGGUUGCUGAGGUACUGCAAAUGCUACCCAUAAUGAAAAAUUGAUACAAUGCAUUUUUACAAAUUUACAAAUAAAAAGAGAACUACUCCAUAUAUAAAUAUUACAUGCAUGGAUGAUUGGGCUGAGAUUGGAUGAUUGUGCUUUGCGAGUAGCUGGUUUAUGAUCUCCUUUAUAAUCUUGGCGCACAUAUUUCACAAAAUUUUCAAAGUCCUGCAACCAUGAAAUAAAUAUUGAGGUUACUUAUCACAAAGUGUUACUUCACAAUCACACCAAGAGAGAAAUAAACAAACUCACUUGUCUGAGUGGCUGAUUAUUCACCACCACCCAUGGCACAUCUUCUUGAGGUGGCUUCAGAUGUGCAGUCUCGUUAGCAUAUUGCAGCAGAAGCUGCAUUUCAUUAAUUUGGAAAAUCAAUGUUAGAAAAAGCUAAGAAGUGUUAAUUAAAUACUAAGACAUGCAGCCAACCUUAUAUCCAAAUCCAGUAGUAUAGCAUUUGUUGAUUAUCUCCUCAUUCAAUCUCAGCUUUUCACUGCAAUUUUUCCACAGUGCUUCAACGGGCCCCCCCUUUAAGCUUUGUUGCUCUGUGCAGCGAAUGAAUUCCAAGUGCUCUUUCUGCACCACAGUAGAGUAAUUAAACACGAGUUGGAGAUGAGUACAAAUACUUAUGGCUCAUAGCAGUUACUGCAUCAGGCCAUAAAUGGAUGACACAACUAUGUAUAGUGUUUAAGUGACGUUCUUCUUCUCCAUGUUGCACAUUAUCGCAAAAACUAUAAUUAGUUAUAACACCAAAAAGAACUAGAACUUCAUUAGUUAAUAAUGAUAAUACAUUAAAAUGAAGAACGGAGUAGUAAACCUGGCAAUGGAUUUCAGCAUUGCCCCAAGGGACCAAUCUUAGAUUGGUAAUGGUAUGGAGGUCAGUGCGGAAGACCUUGACUAGGCUAUUGGAGAUAAGCGAGAAUAUUGCAAGAGCAGCCAGAAUAUAGAAGAUUAAUGGUUGAAGAUAAGCCAUUGUUUCAGUGGUAGCUUUUGCACAAUGCUAGACCUCCAUUGUGCAAGGCUUCUUAUAGUUGAGAAUUGGGAUGCUGAGUAUUGCUUUCUGUCACGUUCAGAAACCAUGAGACAAAUUUACAAAGUUAUCAUCUUUAAAAAAACAAUUAUACACCACUUUAAAAAAAAAUUAUUUACAUGAAAGCUUGUUUAUCUAUUUAUGUAUGAAUAUUGUCUAAACAUGAAAGGAGAAAUCUUAUUAGAUAAUAGAGUUUUAUAAUAACUUAUAAUUUAAAUUAAGUUAUUAACGUAUUUACUGAAUCAUUGGCCUUCUAAAAUGCUUUUAGAUAUCAAAUCCUCUUCGACUUGCAAUUUUUUUCUGCAGAAAACAAUAUCAACAUCUAAGCAAUCUUAUAGAUAUCUAAGCAACAAAAACCAAACAUAAACUGAACAAUUCUCCAAAUACAGAAACCAGGAAAUAGUUAACAUCUCAAACAUAUAACCCAAACAAUUAUAGCAAUAUUAAGAAGCUCACAACAAAAAAUUCCUAUUACAUCUUACACAUAUAUGUUCCAGCUCCACAUCCCUCUUCAUAUUCAGUAUCCAUUUCAUGCCUUCUUCAUAUUUAGUAUUCAUUUGAUGCAUCUCUCGCUGGUUGACGUAUUACAUGUUUCUCAAUAUUCUCUUGUAUUCCAUUGAUACGAACCAGGCUCUCUAAAUAAGCAUGAAGGGAGAUGGUGAACCGAAAAUGAUCUAGGUAAGUAUUAAUCUCAAGCUCCUUAAGCUCUUGGGUGGAGGCGUCAAAUAGGAGUACUUCAUCAUUUGUGUCUGUAAGAAACAAGUCACCAUUUUUUCCAAAUCCCAAUGGGUGUACAACUCCAGAAAUGGAUUGUUUAGUCCACACUCCUUCACUUGUAACCCAUAAAUCAAAAGACGUGUCAAUUCUUUCCGUUGGGUAAACAAUAGCACCAAGUGAUCCAUUAAACACCAACAGAUUAACAUAGUAUUCUGGGAAAGACCCAACGAAUUCUGGGAUAGGUAAAAUUGAGAACUUCUCAUUCCCCAUGUCAAAUGAAAGAAUUAGUCCUCUAAAAUCAAGAUAUGCCCGUCUCUGUUUUCAUAUAGCAAAUUCCGUCUACAUAAUUAUUUCCCAAAGUUGUUCCAGUUGGUUUAUAAUCAGGACAUGGAAUUUCCUUCCAGGAAUUACUUCUAAGAGAAUACAACUCAACUUGGUACAUAAAAUGAGAAUGUGGAUAUUGUUCUUCACUAUUAACAAAAGUAAGAGUAACAAAUCGUAUGACUUUGUAGUCAUCAGUUUUAGAAUCAAACCCAAAAGAAGCGUGGUUAAAUUCAACGUGAUCUAAAGUAAGGUAGGUUUCUUCGAAUGGGGAAAAAUAUGGAGGGCGUUGGAUUGAAGAUGGUGGAAGGAUUUUAAACUCUCUGGUUGAUGGGUUCCAAAUGGCAGCCUUAUCCUUUGAAGGAUCAAGUAAACACAACAAUCCAUGACAAGCACCAUAAACAGAGGGGCGAUCAUUCUUAAAAAAGGGCAAGUGAAUGUUUUGUUUUACUAUAUAAUUUUGAUAUUUUUCAUUUGAAAGUUGAGAGAAAUAACGUUGGAAGGUGUUACCAUCACAGCGACUAAGCAGUAGAUUAAGGUUGUUGUUUUCAAGGUUGUUGUGAUAAUUAUUGGAAAUGAAAUGAGGAGUUUGAAAAGAAGAACACCAAUACUUACAAACACAGUUGAAGCGAGUAAGGGAUUUAACUGGAAGCUUUGACAGAAUUCCCAUAACCAAAGCUUCUGGCAAUUCAAAUCUUGGCCUCUGCAUCUUGCUAUUUUGAUUUUCUUUGUAAUUGGGUAAGAGGAAUGAAUAAGCAAGCAAAAUGGGAGUUGGUAUGGUCCAAACCUUAACCAGGAAGCAAAGAAGCAUAAAAGGUAAGCAUUUGAUAGGUUAUAAAAAUUAUAUGGAAUUUAGGAAAAUUUACUUAUUUGCAUUUGUAUCCAUGUGAGGAAGGAUUAAGAUCAAAUAUAAUAUAAUACAUACUUUUUGAAUUUAAUCCCCAAUUUUUAAAAGAUUAAAUUUAAAGGAUAUCAC